Molecule: long non-coding RNA, 52666 nt
Filed under: Triticum aestivum (bread wheat)
Lineage: Eukaryota; Viridiplantae; Streptophyta; Magnoliopsida; Poales; Poaceae
Description: long non-coding RNA (TAES_LNC002651)
Source: RNAcentral
GUGUAUGUAUCACUGAAGAUGUGUGCAGUUUUCAUUGGGUGUUUGGCUUUGGAGGGUGCGCUCGGAUAGUAGCAGAUUCUCGUCUCAGAAGUCCAGGCUUGCAGCCCUAUGAAAGAAACUUGUUAUGAUUUGUGUCAUUGUGUCAACUUAUACAUGUUUCUGUCUGGAUGUUGGUUGGUUGUUGGUGACUUACUUUGUUGUAUGUUGCUCUCUCUCUCUCUCUCCCUCUUUCUCUCUUACUCUCGGUCUCUCUCUAUCAUCUUGAGAGAUGUUGUUGCCUCUCUUUUGAGCAAGGGUAAAUAAUUGCUAGUUGUCUGGCAGUGCUCAGAAAUCAUGCUACUUGCUGCUUUAGCUAAAAGAGCGUCUCAAAAUAUUUUGAUGUAAUUAAACAUCUCGUUGCAGUCUGAAAUCUUCAAUGUGGCUUGCUACAAGUCGGCGGCGGAGCCAAUAGCUGUAUAAAGAAGCAGAGGAAGGGUUAAAUGAAGAAGAAGUCGUGGACAACAUCCAGGGGAUAACGAAAUUGGAGAUCAGUUUGGCAGCAUGAAUCACGUUUCAGAGCUUAGCUAGGUUUGCCUUAGUACGAAACGGUCGGUCCCUUCACCCAUUAUAGCUCUAUGAUGAUAGCAGGAACCUCAUUAUCUAGGCCACAAAGGUAUUUAAAUUAGAAUGGUUCACAAACUAUGAAAGAAAAUGCAGGGCCACGUUCCCCGCUCUUCUACAGUUGCAACCCAUGUCCACUCCUAAAUCCUCAUGUAUUUGAUGAUAGCAUAUGCUCAAGUCUUGUAGGGAGCGGUUUUAUAGAUCACCAAGGUAAUCAGAAGUUGGCCUCAGAUUCUCCUGGUCUCCUUGUUUUUCCAUGUUCUAUGCCCCAAAUUUUCCAAAAACUCAGCCACCAAGCACAUAAGUCCGCACGCUGUACUAAUUGCCCACAUUGGAAUUUCCCCUUCAAGAACCUUGUUCCUUUGGUUCCACAGUAGCCCCUAGACGGCAAUAACCUAAAUUUUGCUCCUCAAGGGUAUCGUCAAUAUAUCAUCCAUCAUCCAUAAGAUCACACCCUUCCAUUUGUGCCCUCUAGCUCUAGUACUCUAGUCUCGUCUUGCGCUACAGUAGGACAACAUGUGAUUUCUCAGGUCCAUUUAGUUGUGUUUCAUGUAGUGCAAAUGUCGAUAUUCAUGCCAAUGUUCUGGCUUGGCCAGGGAAACUUUCCCAUUUGGUAAAUACCACUGGCACUACUAAUCUGCUACAGCAUGUAAGGCCAUUGCUAUUUUCUCUUGGUUUAUCAAACAUUUUAUUCUGCUGAUAACCAUGACAGGAAAUGAUGGGCAACUGAGAAUAUUACUAUGACACCGCAAGUAUGAUUAUGUGUAUCAACACCACAUAGAGUUUAAUAAGUUUGAGAAAUUCUAGUUUCCUGUUUUUGCUCUUUCUAGCAUACAUGUAUCAGUGUUGGUGCUAAAAUAGUGAAGAUCGCCUGCGUGCACUUCCGCCCGUUCUAUGAGGCAAAAAGCAAACAAGGUCCAGUACUCAACACCGCAUUAUAUAUGUUGCACAUUCAUUAUUCUCUAAUCUUUAUGCUGGUCAAAUACUCUAUACAAACAUUUUUGGACAAAGGGUGAACUUUAUUGGCUCAAACUGGAGCAUCAAAAGGAUAGAAUCACUAUGAGCACACAGCUAGCCUUGCAUAGAUAGGAUGCACACAACCAACACCAAUGCACACACACAAAAAAGCCGACAAUUAGCAAAGUCAUAUAAGACCAAAGUUAUGUGUAGGCAAGGAAAAAAAUCCAAAGUGAUAAGAUACGCUAUCAACAAACUAUAGCAAUAACUAUAUCCGCACCAAUCAUCUCAUGACUCCACACGAACGACGAGGUCCUUCAACAGCAAUGCCUUCAAGAAGGGAGCGGCAUUGACGCAGUCGCCAUCACCGGAUCCAAGUAACAAAGCCAGAGUCUAGGUUUUCACCCUGAAGAGUCUAGAUUAAAUAUUUAUGUCAUAAUUUUGUCAUCACAUUUGAUUGAUGUAUGGGGUAGCUCUAAAAAAGUAGAACUUGUUUGUUUCCUAGCUUAAAUUAAGCUUCUCCAAAUAGCCAAAUAAGAAUCCGACCGAUUUGUAACAUGGUUGAUUAAUGAAAACAUGUGACUUUAGCACCAUUGUGUGCAAUAGAAUUACCGUAAUAAUUUUUGGGAAAGUGCUUGUUUUAAUCAUUGACCUAUUAUUCAUCUUUGGAUCCACCUAGAGGAGCAGAUUGCGGCCUCCUAAGUAGCGGCAAGUGAAGGGGAAUAAGAGCAUGGCCCCAUGUGAUCGCUUGCAAUAUUCGGUGUAUGUGUCUAUGAUGUGGUAGUGUUGAAAGGGUGUCUAGCACUAGAGGGUGCGCGCGAAACCCUGUGAUGGAACUUGUUGUGAUGUGUCGAUGUAUGUUUUUCAAGUCCAUAAACUUGUGUAUCGUGAAUGGGGUGACGCGUGCUCGCGGGCCAUGUGUAAACCCUAUACCUAGUUAGUUGAUUGCUUGUGACUCUAUUUUGUUGUAUGUUGUGAUGUCUCUCUCUAAGAAAGUAUUGCUGCUGGCUUGUUUACAGAUUGUGCGUAAAAUCACCAUAUGUGGAUACGUUAAACAUCUCUUUUCGGUUGAAAUAUUUAGCGUGGCCUGCUAAGAGCACGACCACACCAUGGACACACCUGAGGAGGGGAAAAAUAGAGGGGAUGAUCGGCAUGGUGACAUCACUUGAUCACGUAGCCGACAAUCCUGACCCAUUUCAGGAGAGAAACUUUUGUUUGAGUGAAACUCGGGGACUGAGUUGUUCGUUCCAGAAUUGACGGCCCUGCAAAUUUCAGGAGCUGCAUUUCCAUGGGCUUUACCGUCUCUCUGUGUUGCUCGUAGGUGAUGCGCUAUGAGCAAGCGACAACACGCAACCAAGGGCAUAUCAGAGCCCAUACAACAAUCUUGUUGCACGGCAAUCGAGUCUACCAGAAACCGGUGCUCGUUUCCGUCGACACGUGGACACAAGACCAGUAGUUCCAUGAAUGAGUAACUCUAGCCGGUCCCCUGAAAUUAUAUGGAGGAGUAAAAUUUCGGUUUUACUACUCUAAUCGGCACCUAGCCAAUCUCCUAAACCGAUUAGAGGAGUAAAUUUUCACUCCACCGCCUAUCCAAAUUCUUAAUUUACUAGACCUGGAGGCGGCCAAGUAAAAGUUUUCGUCACCCAAAGGCCUCCUUGUGGCAGGUCAGCGACAAACGUGAAGCUCCCUUGUUGACGGCAGCGACCUCGGGCCUCGCUGGCAACCUCGCCGUAAAAAGUGCCUCCUCUCCCAGUGUUUGGUGCUGGUGGUGGGUUCCUGGACAUGAGGAAAAGCAUAUGUUUCCACGGCGAGCUCCAGCGGCGGUGCGGCCUGGCAGCGAUGCGUACGUCUGAGGCACCCAGCAGCUUAGCGUCGGUUGGAGCGCCGUCAAUGCAGAGUGCAAGUAUGUGGUCUCCGUUUACAGCCGCGGCCUUGGUAGCCGUAUUCUCGCCACCGCGUCAGCGUUCCUCUACGCGCUGCUCACCGACCGGAUCCUCCUUGUCGACCGGAGCAGCGGCAUGGGCGAGCUGUUUCUGUGGUGUGAAUGCCAGUGACUGAAAUCUGCACAUAAACAAGGUGCUCAAUAACAAGGUGCCCACGGUGGUGACUGAGACCUAUGGCAACAGUCUCAAGAACAAGGUGCCCACGGCUGUGAAUGAAACAUGCACGUAAGAGCACCUCAAUUGGGUCAAACUCCGCCUCCAGCUCAAGCACGAGCAUGAACACGACGGCGCACACGAGCACUAGCCUCGAUUAGUGCAGGCAGACGUGUGAUGUCCGUGUGAUGUCCGAGGUGUGCAACGUCCGACUUGCUCACCAGCCUUGCCGGUGUGGUCACCAUUGUCACGGAGGCGCAUAGUAGAUGUUCAAUGAAAUGUAUGAACCGAACCUAAGUUUUACUCCGGCAAAUUUAAGGGAUCGUCUGGAAAUGACCAAAACUUAGUGGAGUAAAUAUAAUUCACUAAGGUUUACUCGGCCGUUUACUCUAUGAUUUAGGGGAUCGGCUAGAGUUGUUCUUAUACAGCGCUCACUACCAAACGGCUACGUUAGAGACCCUCAUGAGCCCAACAAUACGCCCAACAAUACAACCUUCACUCCUCCUCCCAUCCUUGUUCACUCCACUGCCAUGGCGUCCGCCGCUAUGAGAGUCCGGCUCAACGCCCACAUCGCCUACAUGUAUGCCGAGGUGACCUAGUUCCCUUCCCAUCCCCUCCCAUCUACUCGUGUGGUUGUGGGUUUUGGCUUGGCUAGCUCGACAACUGACUUGGCCUUCGACAUUGCCUUUGCAUGGUCGACGUCAAUGCAGGGUCUGGCGGUCGAGCAGGCGUUCGAGGUGCUGUAGGAGGAGAUUACCGUUGUCGACGUAGCCCGGCUCUUCAUCAACGAUGCCUACGAGAUCCUCGAUAACAUUGACACCCUGAUGUCUGUAACGCCGUCUCGAUGCCCUCUAUAUCUCCCUCUGUUAUUUGUCUCUUGCAUACUGACUCAUCUUGUCUGAUCUGGGAUUCGCAGGGAGCUGCCCGUAGUGGACUUUGACGAGGUGGAAGCACUGACGCAGCAGCUCAUGUAAUGUAUCUCCAGGCGAGAUGACGCAUAGGGGCAUUUGCCUAGUUUCUUUACUGGCGCAACCUUAGUGAAAUGCAGGCCUUAUUUUCCCUUUUUGAAAAUGAUCACAUAUGUUUUAAAAAUAUUCAUCAAAUAUUAAGAAUGUUCAUCAUUUAUUAAAUGUGUUCACCAUGUAUCUUGAAAAUGUUCAUCAUUCGUUUUAUCAAAAAAGUUCGGAGUGUUUUAAAAAAUAUCCAUCAUGGACUUUAACAAGGUUGAUCCCUUACUAAGACAAAUUAGUCCGUGUUCAAAAAUGUUCAUCAUGUAUUAAAAAUUGUUUGCCAUGUAUCUUGAAACUAUCCAUCAUGUAUUAAAACAAUAUUCAUCCUCGAUAUUAUAAGAAAUUGACGGAUUUAGAAAAAACAAAUGUGGAUUUUUUAUAAAAUACUGGAUUUUUAAAUAAAUAAAUUUUUCAAUUAUAUGAACAUUUAUUAACACCUGAAAUGUUUUAAUUGCAUGAACAAUUUUUCAUACAGAGCUUAAACUCUUUUUAAAGUACAUGAUUUUUUUUAGAAAUACAAGUAAACUCAAAAAAAGUACAUGAACUUGUUUUUCAAUGUCAACUUAUGUUUUUAUUAUAUGUAUUUUUUUAAAUUGAGUGAUCAGUUUUUCAAUUGCAUGAACAUGUUUAUAAAUGGUUGAACACUUUUUUAUGUGAAGUUACAGGAAAAUAUUUUGAAAUAUGACAUUGAUUAUAUGACAAUUUUUAAAUACGUUGGUUCUAAACUUCAAAUUCCAUGGGUGCGUUGAUGAGCUGGUGGAUGGGCUAUGCAUCAGGCACUUUUUUCCGUCUAAUCUAAUACGAAAAGGAAGUGCUCCUGCCGUUUUCCCUGUCCUUUAGCCAUAAUUAAGUUGAAGCUCCAAGUUUAGUUGUGUUUCGUGUAAUGAAAGUACCGGUAUUCAUGCCAAUUGCAAUGUUAUAUAUGGCUCCACGAGGAAUACUUUGUCGUCUCGUGAGCAUGCCUACGAUUAAUGAUCUGCCGUUCCGCUGAUGGUAGUUUUUUCUAGUCUGUCCAUGUUUCUAUUCGGACGUUCUGACGCGCUGCCGUGUGCGGCUGUCGUAUGCACCAGUAGAAGAGCUGAGUUUAGUUAUGUUUGUCGUAACAUUAUUGCCAGUAUUCUUUGCAAUGGAAAUUCUAUAGCUUGUCAAGGACAAACAUUCUUGUAAUAAUGAUAUGCUAUUCUAUGUAACGCCAAUGUUCUUUUGUGAUUUCUCCACUGCAUCAAUGUUGUUUCCCCACUGCAUCAAUGAUAUACUCGCAGUGGUAUUUAAUAAGUAUGAUAAAUUUCUAUUUUUUUCUGAUCUUGCUCUUUUCUUUCAUUUAUCAGUAUUGGUGCGAAGAGAUUGAACCUCUGCUGCGUGCAGCACUUCACUCCUGAGGCAAAAACCAAAGAACGGUCAGUAGUCAGUACUGAAUUAUAUGUGUUGCACAAUAAUUAUUCUUCACUCAUUAUUGUUCACAUCUUUAUGUUAACCUGUCAGUUAAUAUUCUCUUUUAUGACACUAUAUUUAGCUCAGACAAUCUAAUAGCGUCAAGAACUAACUUGCUUGUUCACUUCAUCUUCUACCACACGUGCUUGUUAGAACACGGUUUAUUACAUGAAUAUGCUUCUUUGAUUGUUCUCUUGUAACUUGUGACCUCUAGACUUAUGUUUAUAGCAUGACUAAGUCUGAGAUAACUAGAGUCUAUUUUUCAAUCAGAUGUUUUUCUUAACCAUUUCAGCUCAGUUCACUUAAUCUCUCCAGAUUUUGAUAGUGCGGUAUAUUUGCAUUAUUCCAGGUACCUCCAGGCAUUAGGUCGUGUCAGUUUUCAGUUAUGCGAUUUGUGCAGUAUGCUCAAGAUCAUAAUAGAGGUAGCCCCUUAUGUCCCUAUGUUGAAUUGUAAAACAAACUUCUCAGUAGUAUCCUAAUACAUAGAUAUUGGCUGAAGAUAAAAAUUACAUUAAUGGUCUUGUUGUCGUUAUUUAAAAUUAUAGAGAGAGGUAUGGUUUUGUUUCUGGAGCACUUAGUUCGAGGUCUCUGAAAGUACAAUUUGGCCGUCGAAUAUUUUUGUUCUUAAUCUCCUCGUCACAUGCAGUAGAUGUACAUGAUAGCUCUAAGAAGUGGUGUUUCUUUGUUUCCCACCAUAAGUUAAGCAUUGCCAAGUACCACAAUAUGAACAAAAAAAACACAUUGCAUCAUGACUAAUUUCUGAAACCAUGUGAAUUGAGCAUCAUUAUGCAUCACAAAUAUGUCUUAAUCAUUGACGUGUUCAUAUUGUUCCAGCUGGAGCAGCAUUUUCCGGCCUUUGGUCCUAAGUAGAGGGGAAAAGGACAUAGCCCGAUGUGCUAUCUUGCAUGAUGGGGUGUAUGUAUCACCAAAGAUGUGGGCAUUUUUCUUUGGGUCUGUGGCUUUGGAGGGUGCACUCGGAUACUGGCAAAUUCUCGUGUCGAAAGUCCAGGCUCGCAACCCUAUGAAAUAAACUUGUUAUCAUGUGUGUCCUUAUAUGUGUCAACUCCACAUAUUUCUGUCUAGAUAUUGGUUGUUUUUUGGUGACUUUAGUUUUGUUUUAUGUUGUUGUAUCUCUCUCUCUCCCUCUCCCUCUCCCUCUCCCUCUCCCUCUCCCUCUCCCUCUCUCUCUCUCCCUACCAUAUUGAGAGAUGUUGUUGCCUCCCUUUUGAGCAAGGGGAAAUAUUUGNNNNNNNNNNGAAAUUUUCCUUGAUGAACCUUGCACCUUUGGUUCCAAAUGAACCCCCAGAUGGCAAUAACCUCCAUUCUGUUUAUCAAGGGUAUCGUCCAGAUAUCAUCCAUCAUCCAUACUAUGUCACCAUCUCAUUUGUGCCCUCGAGUGCUCUAAUCUCGACUUGCAGCACAGUGGGACAACAUGUGAUUUCUCAGGUCCAUUUAGUUGUGUUUCAUGUAGCGGAAAUUUCGAUAUGCAUGCCAAUGUUAUGGCUCGGCCAGGGAAACUUUGCCCAUUUUGUAAAUAUCUCUGGCACUACUAAUCUGCUAUAGAGCAUGUAAUGCUGUUGCCCUUUUUUUUGUUUAUCAAAUAAUUUAUUGUGAUGAUAAACAUGACAGGAAAUGGCGCGUUGGUGAGAAUAUUAUUAUGAUAUGGCAAGUAUGAUUAUGUGUAUCAACACGGCAUAGCGUUUAAUAAUGUUUAGAAAUUAUAGUUUCUUGAACUUUCUCUUUUUGGUGUCCAAUAUCACCGUUGGUGCUAAACAAGUGAACCCCGCCUGCGUGCACUUCUGCCAGUUCUACAAGGGAAACGCUUCGCAUCCAUUGUCUGGCAAGACUCAAGCGUCGGAACACUCAAAAGUCAUUGAUCUACUCGAAAUCCAUGCUUAAAAUUAGUCAUGCUUUUGUAAUUAAGGAAACUAAAAAAAUCACCGCACAACUUCUAUGCUAGAUCUUCUCCCCUAAUCCUCAGUUUCCACCCCGAACAUAGCACUGCUCCCCUGCCUUGACAGAUCCCUUUUCCCUCCGGUACCGCCCUGCUCUUCCUUCUUCCCUCUUCGUCUAGAAGCAGAGCAAACUCAUCGGCCAGUUGCGCCCUAGGCUCAUCCUUUUCUCUUCGUCAUUGAGCAGCCUGGCAGCCCCAUCCUCUACUCCACCGAUGAGUCCAACGGGCGUGAUCGGUAGUGCGUCAUCCUGACAUUAGGGGCCCAGACCCCCAUUUCGAUUAUGAUUCCUAGAUCAGCAGGGAGACCUCCUCUCCACUCCAUCUCCCACAUGAUGGCCCCCGAGGGAGACCUCGCAGGUGAAACAUCCUGAACGUCCAUGCCAUCUCCUCUGCAUUUGGUAUGGCCGUCGGAGAACAUGCAGAUGCAUCCGGUCCUUGUCCCCUCUUUGAAACCUCCCUCCCAGAAUAGAAGUUAUCAACAAUGCAUCAAUCUCCUCUCGUCUGAUCAUUGUUUUUCCUUCGUUCCUAUUGUUCUCCGUGUGCUGGCUUUAAUUUCAACAUUGUAAUUAGGUGUCUAUUGGGUGUCGAAUAUUCAUAGGUACACAUGUUCAAUGUGUGCCAAAUAUUUGUGUUGGCGAGAAAUUGUUCUAUCCAUGUAUUACUUCAUUUAAUCAUCAAGGAAUUUAAUUGUUUUUUGGUUUUCGGAACACCGAAACUUCCAUAGCUAUGUUGAUGUUAAUCAUAGUUAUUUUCUAGUGUUGAAUUUCAAUGCUUCCAACGAAGUUAAGAUUUUUUUAGAUAUUAACCUUUAGCAUCCUAUAUAUGGAGCUUCCAAAGUAUGCUACAAAUGUACAGAUAUUUUCCUCCUGGAAAUGCUUCAAAAAUUAUUGUUGACUUUCCAUUUCAAUUUUAUAUUCUAGUUAAAUUAGCUAGUGUUGACAUAGCACAUGCAUCCUACCCAAUAAUUCCUCAUCCGGAGCACUCCUUUCAUGCUUCAUAUUGGUUUGUUUUAAUUUCAAAAUUUCAUGGUUCCAAAUAACACUUAUUUUGUUCCUUGAACUAUCCUUUCAUCCUUCUUUGUCAUUGAGCUAUGUUUCUCUGGGCUAGAAAAUAUGUUUCCAUUUAUGCUCUAUGCUUACAUUAAAGAUGGAUCAUAUGUAUAUAGCAUACUUUGAUGGUUCCUGCAAAUUGUGCUUCCGAAUCACACCUCAACUUCUUCAACCAAUAUUAGUUUGUGCUACGGCCAUGGAAACGUUGCUUCUUCCGAUAAAAUUAUUGUUCACACCUUUUUUCUCUUGCAAACAAUUUUUUGUUUGAACCACUAACAAUGUAUGCUUCGUUGAAUCUCAUAUACGUUUCCAUGAAAAACAUACAAGAUGCUUCAAAAAAUUACUUAUAAAUGUUUCCAUGGUAGUAAAUCCCGCCUUCAAGCAUUGCCAAUGUGUGUUUCUGUUGUUGUCUUCACAUAUUGGUUCGAGCAAGCGAGUGCUUGAACCAAUACCAAUGAGUCCUUUUUCAGUGAUAUAAUUGUACAUGCAUUCUGCGUCUUGUGGCAAUCUUUUUGUUUCCAACCACUACCGAGGUUAGCUUCAUUGUUUCUUUCUCAUGAUUUUCGUAUACAGAUAUUUUGCCCACCUUAUUCAGGAGCAUCUUUACUUCCAACAGAAUGCUAGUAGUUGUUGAGUGUGCUGGACCAGGCAUCAGUCCUUAUCGGAGGCUACCUCGUUGAAGAACUUGUGACGUGUGAGGAUCUCUCUUAUGAUAAGUUAAUUGAAAAUGUACAUCAAAGCUGAUUAUGCAUAAGUGAAAUUAGUGUUGUUGAUGUGGUUAUUGUUGUUGCUGUUGUAGAAAGAAUUGUAUAUUAUUUGUUUGAGAUGAAAUUUGAGACGCUGUCUAUUCUUGUUUUGUGUUUCCAGAUGAUUCCUUUGGCGAAAAAAAUGUUUCUAUCAACUGUGAAUAUUAUUUUUGGCACACCAAAUAUUUUAUAAAAAAUGCUUCCGUAUCAUAGUAAUAAUGCUUCCAUGAAUACAAAAUAAAAAGUUGUCUAUCACAUGAUUGAAUAGUAUGUUUGCAUCGCAACGUGAAAGGGUGCUUCCAUCGAUUAAAGUAAUGCUUCUAUGAUUAUGAUAACCAUGACAGGAAAUAGCAAGCAGCUGAGAAUAUUACUAUGUCCUCAAACUCGGCUAUAUUACUGAUCACCUUACCAUUGGCAAUCUGCAAGGAUUUUAUGUGGUUCUUCCUUCUCCUCAUAGUAGCUCUAAGGUGGAAGUAACGAGUGCUGUUAUUACCACAACUAAACCACUCCACGCGCGAACGUUGCUUCCAUAAAAUCUCCUCUUCGUUGUAUAACUCCACAAGACAUUCAACAAUCUUUACCUCUUGGUGUGACGGUCCAGCUCGUCCAGGUAAGCUCCUUAGAAUUUCUAGUUCAUGCUUGAAGAGUUUGAUUUCGCUGCGGACAUUACCAAAUCUCAGGCAGUCCUAGCUAGAUAGGUCAUGAGAUAACUCACGUAGCUUAUCUUGCACUUCCGUGACCGAAGCCGCUUCAGGGCCAUUCUUCCAUGCCGCCUCCACAAGUGUUUUCAGNNNNNNNNNNUCUGGGUGCGUUUCCCACAUCAUCUCAUAUUUGAAAGAUCUAGCACCUUUGUUAUUCAUAAGCUCCUCGGAAAAAAUCAGAACAAUGGGGCUGUGAUCCGAACACACUGCCGAGGAAUGAUUUAGCUGUGCCGCCGGGAAUAAGGAGCUCCAUUUGUGUCCACAAUUGCUCGGUCCAGUCUCACCCUUGUGAAAGGUCCGCCUGCAACUUUGUUUUCAAAGGUCCAUGGUAAACCAUUGUGUCCCAAAUCGUGUAAGCCACAUCUACAAUUGACCUCUCAAGCUAACGCCAUCAGGCUCUGACUAGCGCAAAACUUCGUUAAAAUCACCCAUGGCUAGCCAGGGAAUAGCUGAUGUCCCCACCAAUGAGGGAAGAGUGUCCCAUUUCUUGUAUAUGUUUACGACCCUCGCUUAACCGUAUAUGCAUGAUAACCUUCAAGGAUUUGUUCCCAACUCAUAAAUAGCAGCAUCAAUAUGGUAUUUGGAGUAACCAUAAAUCUGUGGUUUUAUAUCAUCGUUCCAAAAAAAUUACAAGACCCCCUCUCCUACCGGAGCUACUAAUAGCUAAAGAUUUAUUAUAACCAAAAGACAUCGAUAAAAAUUCGGGGUGUGCCCUAUCCAAUUGAGUUUCAACUAAGCAUAACACGGCCGGGGCAAACUUGUUUGCGAGCUCGCAAACCUCUCGAACUGUCUUUGGGUUGCUCAACCCACGACAGUUCCACCUUAAAUACUCAUUGGUCACGGCGGCGCUCCACACGAGAGCCCGCCAAGGGCUCAAUUAUCUCCAUGUUAUUUUCCGGAUUUGAGCAACAAGUGGCACCCAGACCUUANNNNNNNNNNCUGCACUAGUGUCCUGCUCAUCGCCCAAGAAGACCAAUACAUGUCGCUUGUCCAGCAAACCCAUGCGUUGCAUACAAUCACCUUCAGUCAGCUCCGUCACGUAAUCGGGGUCCCACACUGGCAUAGUCGUUACACCAUGAGACGCUUCGGGUGCAGUGUUGCCUCACCAGCGCCCCUUUUUUUCACCCCCACUGCUCACGGAAGCCAGUGGCAGUACCUGUGAGCGAGAAGGUUGAUUGCCAAAGACAGGUAGAUUACGUUGUGCCUGUAACUCAGCUGGUGUUGCAAAAAGCUUCGCUCCAUAGAUAGACGUUGAUCCCAGCGGCUGAUCAUAGAUGAAGUGACCUCCAACCGCAUGUUCUUUCCAUAGACAAUCAGUUGACAACGAAGACGACGUAUACUUUCGCGCCGGGGCGGGAGCGGCCUCCGUUCGUGGAUGCGGUAGACUCCCGUUGAUGGUACAAGUCGGGGGCGGUGCCGGAGUCGCCAUCGCCAUGUUCCGCCCAAACUAACGGAGCAGACGUUUCUCAAUUAUCUCAUCUGAACCAACAUGACCAGUUUGAUGGUGGACGGUAGCGGCGCUGGCGGCGGCAAGAUGUCAAACCCUAGAUCAUCCUCAAAAUCGCCUGCGACGUACGUUCCGCUAGGACACGCUUGAAAGGUUGCCGGAUGCCUCAUGUUGAUGUAAGAGGGCGCGAUUACCACUAAAAAAUCUGCAAAUUGAUCUAGCAUUAUGCACAUGAUGAAAUCGUGUUUUUUCUUACAUAUAUUCUUUCUUUCUUUCUUUUUAGCACAAACAACACCCUUGUGUAUUUAUUUAUUUUAUUUCCAAGAUAUCAAGAAAUCGACGCUCCCUUCCAUCUAUGACCUGUGGGCCUGAGCUAAGGGCAGAACGAGUGGUUCGGAAACGUUUGAGAACGGCGCGCCGUGCGAAUUUUCCGCCGGACGCGGGCCACACUGGUGUUAGUACUAAUCUUGAUGCAUGUAGUUAGUUGGUUAGUGGAUUGACUAGUCAUGCAUGCAUUAGAUGGAUAAGUAGAUGUGUGUGAGUUAGCUAGCUAGAUGGUUGUAGUAGUUAGCUGUUAGGUGCGCGUCGUGCGUGCUGGCCGAGCAGAUCGCUCGCAUGCAGGCUAGGUGUGCGUGGGUGCAUGCACGGUGGAGACUUGGGCGUUGCGUAGCUGCUGCACUACAAAGUAGGCUGGGCUGUUCAUGUUUGCAGAGAGCGCGGGUAUGUGCGUCAAGGUGUUGUAGCGAUGUAGUCUGGGGUGAACGAGUUCGUGCUCGUGGAAUACAACGCCGUUCGUGCGGCGGGCGGAGUACGUGCUCCGGUGUUCCGGGAAACACUUGUGUCCAGCAUCCUUCUUCCUCCUUCAUCUUCUUCUUUGUUGUGUCAGAGAGAGAACGAGUGGGAGGUGCAGCGAGAGAGAGGCAAGGUGAGGCCGCGGCAACAACAAUUGGUAUCAUGAGCUUGGUGUCUUGGGCGUGCUUGCCGUGUCGGAGGCGUGGCGGCGGUGGCGGCGUUCGCUAGCGGCUGCGCGGUGAAGCUCGGGGCCGUCUGUCGGUCUAUGGAGGUGCGCGGCGCGGCAAGUAGGCCACGGUGGCCGCGGCGGACGCGGCCGACAUGGAGGCAUCGGUUGCGGCGCGUGGCGAGCGCGUGGUGACGGCGACGCGUGGUAGGUCCGCGGCUGUGCGGUGUGAUGUCGUGCAUGCGGAGAGCACGGUGGUCGCGGAGACGAGGAGGUCGCGGAGGACCUGCGUGGUGGCGCAGAGGUCGCGGCGGCUCAGCGCGACAACCGUGGAGGCGCGUGGCACGGAGCCGCGGCGGCCCCGGCGGACCUGCGCGGUGGCGCGGCGUGGCGGCAUGGAGGUGUUGUGCUGCGGUUGAGGCCGCGGCGGUGCAGGGCAAUAAGACGCGGCGGCGAGCCGGGCGCGCCCGGUGCGUGUUAUGGGUGCGCACUAGACGCGUCGGGCGCGUCGAGACCGCGGGCACGCGUACGAGCGUGCGGUUGACGUUGGGAGGAGGCAUAUGUCGUCGUGGUGCUCGAGUCCGUGCUUGAGUUCGGCUACAUUCUUCCGGCGUUUUUCACUGGCGGCUGCCAUGGCGGAUGCGGAGGCGGCACGCGGUGAGCGUCUGGUGCUGUCGGGCUCGUCGGGCGUGUCGGAUGCGCGUGGGACGUGCAGGACGCACUGGUGCUGUCGGGCUCGUCGGGCGCGCGCGGGACGUGCGGGGCGUGAAGGGACGCCAGGCGUGUGUCGCCGGCGGAGAUGGAGCUCGGCGUAUGUCGCCGGGGUCGUGACGGAGCAUGGUGCGACCGGUGUCGGUGCACCAGGUCGGGUCCGCGGGCUGGGUCACGGUCUUGGCGACAACGACGAUGGGAGCUGCAACAACUCCGGGGACGGCAAGUCAAGAUUAGGAGGGAAAUGUUAGUACUAAUCUUGAUGCAUGUAGUUAGUUGGUUAGUGGAUUGACUAGUCAUGCAUGCAUUAGAUUGAUAAGUAGAUGUGUGUGAGUUAGCUAGCUAGAUGGUUGUAGUAGUUAGCUGUUAGGUGCGCGUCGUGCGUGCUGGCCGAGCGGAUCGCUCGCAUGCAGGCUAGGUGUGCGUGGGUGCAUGCACGGUGGAGACUUGGGCGUUGCGUAGCUGCUGCACUACAAAGUAGGCUGGGCUGUUCAUGUUUGCAGAGAGCGCGGGUGUGUGCGUCGAGGUGUUGUAGCGAUGUAGCCUGGGGUGAACGAGUUCGUGCUCGUGGAAUACAACGCCGUUCGUGCGGGGGCGGAGUACGUGCUCGGGGAAACACCUGUGUCCAGCAUCCUUCUUCCUCCUUCAUCUUCUUCUUCGUUGUGUCAGAGAGAGAACGAGUGGGAGGUGCAGCGAGAGAGAGGCAAGGUGAGGCCGCGGCAACAACAACUGGUGUCGUGCGGCCAUGCAAGCCGCCAUCCGAGUGAGGCAGUGAGACGCGUGUAUUUGGUGGACCCGCGCAGACCGUUCCUUUCCUCCAUUGUCUUUUCUCCUGCACACCAUCCCCUACCUUCAGCCGCGCCCUCCCCGUGUCGUGUUUCUUCUCACUCUUCCCUUCGCCCGCACUGCAGCGAAACCACCACAAAGCACACUUCAGUUGCGCCCUCGUGUGAAAGCCUUGUCCCGCCGUGCUGCAAUCUACAAGUUGACCAGCGGCACGAUGGAACCAUGCCGAAAAUUACCGGAUCCGGCGGGGAAAAAGAUGGAACCACGGCCACAAGAUAUUGCAACGAUGCCGCGACAGGAGGCCCCCAGACCAUGGAUUUUUUUUUGGAAUAAGGGGGCGCGAUUUUUGCUGCAACUAGCUGCGGUGUAUGCUGGAACUGGUGAGGAAAUUUUCUGCAUCUGGCAUCUAUUUUUGUUGGAAAUCAUCGCCUUUUAUUUUUUGCUAUGUGUUUCUAUUGGAACCCGCAGCCAUUUUUGCUACUACCAUUUAUUGGUUUUGCUAGAUUGCGCAAUUUUUUCCUGGAAUCUGUGUCUUUUUUUUUGCUGCCACCAGAGGGUCGGCAACACCAGCGUGCUCGUUUUCUUGCUGUGACCGCGGCAGCGACGUGUUUUUGUUUGGAGCAGGAAUAUUUUUUUUUGCUGGAACCGGCAUGCGUUAUUGAUGCUACAGGCAAAUCAAUGGAGAUUUUGUUUUUGGCUGAGAUUAUUUUUGCAGAUGAACACGCUGGUCUGAGCGGACGACGGCGACGCGCGCAGACGGCCACGCGGGGAAUGCUGUAACCAUGGCGACGACGAACUAGAACCGGCCGACGGGUGAGCUGCCAAUGUGGCGGCCGAGGGACGAGCGCCAUUGGCACCAUUGGCCAGCGAGCAAGAGACUGUCCUUUUUAGUGUUAGGGCCUGCGAUGCGGCGCAGCGACUAGUCCGGUCGAGAAGGAGCGGCACUGCAGUUAGCGAGGAGCAGCUUCACGACAGGGACCGAUCCGUAGAUCCGUUCAACCGGCGUGAGCAGGAGGAAGGGGAAGGGCACAGGGUUAGCUGGGUGAUGGGCGAAAUCUGACGGCCACGCAUCUCACACCGGACGGCUUGGAUGUGACCGGCCUAUCAUCCCCUUAAGAAAAGCCAUCAGGCGCGUGCUAGCUGCUGCCUGGCUCCUGUUGUCGUCCUCAACCUGUAGCAGCAUCCAUCCAUGCAUCGUGUUGGGCAAUAAUCCACGGCGGGCUCGGACGCGUGCGCGUGUAUGUGCGCGCGCUGCGCGUGUCCGUAGGUGUGUGCGUGUGUGCGUGAGUCAGCGCAUAUGUGCAUGUGAGUCUGCGCCUCUGUUAGCGAGAUUGCCGGGGAGGCGAGACCGCGUCGGGCUCUGGAAGUGUCCGCGUAGUGCGCGUGCAUGCGCGCAGAGCGCGCUAGCCACAUAGCGCGGACGUGCAGGUCGUGCGAGUGGGGGUGCGUACGAGCGCGGGCUGGCGUGUAUGUGCACGCGGGUAUAAAACCCCGCUCCCUCCUAUGUAGUUGGCUGUGGUGAUCGACUUCGAGAUCGAGGUGAAAAAACAGAAAACGCCGUUCGUGCCACAGGUGUUUGUGUGCCACCAAAUUUAUUGUGUGUGUUUUCUUCCUCUCCGAUCGUGUCUACGGUGAUCGCCGACGAGUGCUAGGCCAUUCUGCAACAACAAUUGGUAGCAGAGCAACGGUUCGAAGGUGAUCGUUGGCGGCCAUGGCGCUCGUUCCGCACGGCGGCGGUGGUGGCACGUUCUCGCUGUCGGUCACCAUUAAUGCCGACCAACUACACCUCUUGGGCGAUCAAGGUGGAGGCAAUCCUUGAUGCCCAGGGGCUGUGGGGCAUGGUUGCAGUGCAGGUGGCGACAAACCGACCAUGAAGGCCGUAUGGGACUCCCUCAAGGUGCGCUUCAUCGGCACCGAUCGGGUGCGGGCGGCCCAGCUCAUGACGCUCCGCGGCGACUUCGAUCGCCUGAGGAUGGCGGGCGGCNNNNNNNNNNUGCGGAGAGCACGGUGGUCGCGGAGACGAGGAGGUCGCGGAGGACCUGCGUGGUGGCGCAGAGGUCGCGGCGGCUCAGCGCGACAACCGUGGAGGCGCGUGGCACGGAGCCGCGGCGGCCCCGGCGGACCUGCGCGGUGGCGCGGCGUGGCGGCAUGGAGGUGUUGUGCUGCGGUUGAGGCCGCGGCGGUGCAGGGCAAUAAGACGCGGCGGCGAGCCGGGCGCGCCCGGUGCGUGUUAUGGGUGCGCACUAGACGCGUCGGGCGCGUCGAGACCGCGGGCACGCGUACGAGCGUGCGGUUGACGUUGGGAGGAGGCAUAUGUCGUCGUGGUGCUCGAGUCCGUGCUUGAGUUCGGCUACAUUCUUCCGGCGUUUUUCACUGGCGGCUGCCAUGGCGGAUGCGGAGGCGGCACGCGGUGAGCGUCUGGUGCUGUCGGGCUCGUCGGGCGUGUCGGAUGCGCGUGGGACGUGCAGGACGCACUGGUGCUGUCGGGCUCGUCGGGCGCGCGCGGGACGUGCGGGGCGUGAAGGGACGCCAGGCGUGUGUCGCCGGCGGAGAUGGAGCUCGGCGUAUGUCGCCGGGGUCGUGACGGAGCAUGGUGCGACCGGUGUCGGUGCACCAGGUCGGGUCCGCGGGCUGGGUCACGGUCUUGGCGACAACGACGAUGGGAGCUGCAACAACUCCGGGGACGGCAAGUCAAGAUUAGGAGGGAAAUGUUAGUACUAAUCUUGAUGCAUGUAGUUAGUUGGUUAGUGGAUUGACUAGUCAUGCAUGCAUUAGAUUGAUAAGUAGAUGUGUGUGAGUUAGCUAGCUAGAUGGUUGUAGUAGUUAGCUGUUAGGUGCGCGUCGUGCGUGCUGGCCGAGCGGAUCGCUCGCAUGCAGGCUAGGUGUGCGUGGGUGCAUGCACGGUGGAGACUUGGGCGUUGCGUAGCUGCUGCACUACAAAGUAGGCUGGGCUGUUCAUGUUUGCAGAGAGCGCGGGUGUGUGCGUCGAGGUGUUGUAGCGAUGUAGCCUGGGGUGAACGAGUUCGUGCUCGUGGAAUACAACGCCGUUCGUGCGGGGGCGGAGUACGUGCUCCGGGAAACACCUGUGUCCAGCAUCCUUCUUCCUCCUUCAUCUUCUUCUUCGUUGUGUCAGAGAGAGAACAAGUGGGAGGUGCAGCGAGAGAGAGGCAAGGUGAGGCCGCGGCAACAACAACUGGUGUCGUGCGGCCAUGCAAGCCGCCAUCCGAGUGAGGCAGUGAGACGCGUGUAUUUGGUGGACCCGCGCAGACCGUUCCUUUCCUCCAUUGUCUUUUCUCCUGCACACCAUCCCCUACCUUCAGCCGCGCCCUCCCCGUGUCGUGUUUCUUCUCACUCUUCCCUUCGCCCGCACUGCAGCGAAACCACCACAAAGCACACUUCAGUUGCGCCCUCGUGUGAAAGCCUUGUCCCGCCGUGCUGCAAUCUACAAGUUGACCAGCGGCACGAUGGAACCAUGCCGAAAAUUACCGGAUCCGGCGGGGAAAAAGAUGGAACCACGGCCACAAGAUAUUGCAACGAUGCCGCGACAGGAGGCCCCCAGACCAUGGAUUUUUUUCUGGAAUAAGGGGGCGCGAUUUUUGCUGCAACUAGCUGCGGUGUAUGCUGGAACUGGUGAGGAAAUUUUCUGCAUCUGGCAUCUAUUUUUGUUGGAAAUCAUCGCCUUUUAUUUUUUGCUAUGUGUUUCUAUUGGAACCCGCAGCCAUUUUUGCUACUACCAUUUAUUGGUUUUGCUAGAUUGCGCAAUUUUUUCCUGGAAUCUGUGUCUUUUUUUUUGCUGCCACCAGAGGGUCGGCAACACCAGCGUGCUCGUUUUCUUGCUGUGACCGCGGCAGCGACGUGUUUUUGUUUGGAGCAGGAAUUUUUUUUUUGCUGGAACCGGCAUGCGUUAUUGAUGCUACAGGCAAAUCAAUGGAGAUUUUGUUUUUGGCUGAGAUUAUUUUUGCAGAUGAACACGCUGGUCUGAGCGGACGACGGCGACGCGCGCAGACGGCCACGCGGGGAAUGCUGUAACCAUGGCGACGACGAACUAGAACCGGCCGACGGGUGAGCUGCCAAUGUGGCGGCCGAGGGACGAGCGCCAUUGGCACCAUUGGCCAGCGAGCAAGAGACUGUCCUUUUUAGUGUUAGGGCCUGCGAUGCGGCGCAGCGACUAGUCCGGUCGAGAAGGAGCGGCACUGCAGUUAGCGAGGAGCAGCUUCACGACAGGGACCGAUCCGUAGAUCCGUUCAACCGGCGUGAGCAGGAGGAAGGGGAAGGGCACAGGGUUAGCUGGGUGAUGGGCGAAAUCUGACGGCCGCGCAUCUCACACCGGACGGCUUGGAUUUGACCGGCCUAUCAUCCCCUUAAGAAAAGCCAUCAGGCGCGUGCUAGCUGCUGCCUGGCUCCUGUUGUCGUCCUCAACCUGUAGCAGCAUCCAUCCAUGCAUCGUGUUGGGCAAUAAUCCACGGCGGGCUCGGACGCGUGCGCGUGUAUGUGCGCGCGCUGCGCGUGUCCGUAGGUGUGUGCGUGUGUGCGUGAGUCAGCGCAUAUGUGCAUGUGAGUCUGCGCCUCUGUUAGCGAGAUUGCCGGGGAGGCGAGACCGCGUCGGGCUCUGGAAGUGUCCGCGUAGUGCGCGUGCAUGCGCGCAGAGCGCGCUAGCCACAUAGCGCGGACGUGCAGGUCGUGCGAGUGGGGGUGCGUACGAGCGCGGGCUGGCGUGUAUGUGCACGCGGGUAUAAAACCCCGCUCCCUCCUAUGUAGUUGGCUGUGGUGAUCGACUUCGAGAUCGAGGUGAAAAAACAGAAAACGCCGUUCGUGCCACAGGUGUUUGUGUGCCACCAAAUUUAUUGUGUGUGUUUUCUUCCUCUCCGAUCGUGUCUACGGUGAUCGCCGACGAGUGCUAGGCCAUUCUGCAACAACAAUUGGUAGCAGAGCAACGGUUCGAAGGUGAUCGUUGGCGGCCAUGGCGCUCGUUCCGCACGGCGGCGGUGGUGGCACGUUCUCGCUGUCGGUCACCAUUAAUGCCGACCAACUACACCUCUUGGGCGAUCAAGGUGGAGGCAAUCCUUGAUGCCCAGGGGCUGUGGGGCAUGGUUGCAGUGCAGGUGGCGACAAACCGACCAUGAAGGCCGUAUGGGACUCCCUCAAGGUGCGCUUCAUCGGCACCGAUCGGGUGCGGGCGGCCCAGCUCAUGACGCUCCGCGGCGACUUCGAUCGCCUGAGGAUGGCGGGCGGCGAGGACAUGGACGGCUACACCUGGAAGCUCGUGAAGAAGUUGUUGGACACCGUCCCCAACCGCCUGUACCCUGCCUUCACCAGGAUUGAGCAAUUCUGCAACGUCAACGAGAUGGCGUUCGAGGAGGCCCUCGGGCGGCUGAAGGCAUUCGACGAGCGGACGCGGCACCACAGGAGAACGGAGGCGAGCGUGGGGGCGACCAGCUACUUCUAACGGCGGUGCAGUGGGCAGCGCGGUGGCGAUAGGAGGAUGGAGUUGCCUUUGACGACGACGGCGGCGGGGGGAGCACGGCGUUAGGCAGCGGAGGGAAGCGCCGGGGCCGCUUUCACCGCGACUGCACAAGGCCAAGGAAGGCGGCGGCAGAGCGGACGUCGACGUCGAGGCGUCCGGCCUCCUCUAGGCCGUGACUUAGGGGGUGUGUGUUGGGCAAUAAGCCACAGCGGGCACGGACGUGUGCGUGCCUGUGUGUGUGUGUGUGUUGGCGCCUCGAGUCCGGCCCGUGGCAGGCACGGGCGCAUGUCCGCGGGUGUGUGCAUGUGUGCGUGAGUCAGCGUGUAUGUGCGCGUGAGUGUGUGCGUCUAUUAGCGAGAUAGUCGGGGAGGCGAGACCGCAUCGGGCGCCGGAAGUGGCUGUGUAGUGCGCGUGCAUGCGCGCAGAGCGCGGGACGUGCAGGUCGUGUGAGUGGGGUGCUUAUGAGCACAGGCUGGCGUGUCUGUGCACGCGGGUAUAAAGCCCCCUCCCUCCUAUGUAGUUCGCUGUGGAGAUUGAGUUCGAGCUCGAAGUGAAAAACAGAAAACGUCGUUUGUGCGGUUGCUAUUUGUGUGCCACCAAAUUUUUUGUGUGUAUCUUCUUCCUCUGUGAUCGUGUCUACGGUGAUCGCCGGCGAGUGCUAGGCCGGUUUGCAACAACACAUCGGUCCAAAGGUAACUGCAUGCAUGCAUGCACUGAUGCACGCCAUCUCCAAGCUCUUCAUUAAUAUGGCUGCCAGCCAGCACACUAAUGGAGCACUAGAACAUUCGCUGCCAGCCAGUAGAGUAAUCGAAUUCGAAGCACACUCGCUGUGCCAGCCAGUAGAAUAAAUGUGCCGCUGCACCGCACUCCUCGCCUGUCCUCGUCCACUCCGCCACCGCAGCAGCAGCAGCUUCCAAUCCCGUCCCUCCCGUGAAGUGCUCUCUCGCCGCCCCAACAUCGCCAUGGAGGCCGCCGCCGAGCUCAGGACCCAGCUCCAAGCCCACCUCACCAUGAUGUACGCCACGGUGAGUCCCAUCCCUCCCCUCUAUAGCCACCGUGCCCACUGCUCUGAUGAUGGGUUUCGACUGGCUGUCCCUUGACCUCUCCUUGUCCUGACUCUCUGCCUGGCCCCCGUGGUCGAUCUAGGGUGCCGUGGACGCGUAUUUCCAGGAGCUGCAGGAGCUGGACGAGGGCAGUGCAGGCACGGGCCACGUCGCCGAAGUCCUCAACAUCUUCCUCAAUGACGGCGACAGGAUCCUCAGGGACAUCGACAGCCUGCUGUCCGUGCCGUGCCCCCUCCACCACGCAGCCUUGUUGUCUCUUCUCUCGUCUCGGAUACUGAGUACUCACUCACUUGGUCUGCUCUGCUCAAUCUGUGAUUCCCAGGAACAAGCCCCUGCACGAGGUGAACUUCUCCAAGGUGGACGCCCUGGUGCAGCAGCUCAAGGGGAGCAGCUCCACGUAUGAUGAUGAUUUCUUUUCUAUCCCCGUCCAUUUUUUACUGUCUGUGUGUUUCUCCGCUGCAUCGUUGUCGUGUGAUUCACAUGUGAGUGUCAUUUCCAUUGUUAUCGCUCGGCCAUGAACACUUUCCCCUUUUGUAAGUGUCGGUUGCAGUGUCGUGUAGCGAUAAUUAGAAGGGGUGAGCUUAGUUAUGUUUCUUGUAACGGAAGUACCGGUAUUCAUGCCAAUGCCAACGGUAACGUUAUGAACUUUCUGACGUUUCUGGUAUUAAUGAUAUGCUAUUCGGCCUAACGCCAUUGGCGGGUUUUUUUCUAGGAUGUCCACAUUUCUUUUCGGAUGACCAAUGUGUGUUGUUUCUGACCACCGUAUACACAUAAGUAGAAGAGCCAAGUUCAGCUGUCUUUUCCGUUACAGAGUUGUCAGCAUUCAUGUCUAUGGCAAUGCUAUAAUAGAUCGUCAAGAAAUUUGCCGUCUUGCGAACACUUCAAGUAUUAUUGAAUCCGUCAUUCGCCAACGACUAUAUUCUAGCUAAGCCGGCAACUAAAUUUCCAUUCUAGAAACAUUAAUUUAUGGUAUUUAUGGUCUGCUGCUCUACAUAUAUAACGCCAGCACUACUGAUGCCGUAGGUCCAAUUUUAUUUUUCUGAUUCAUCAAACAAUUUAUUGUGUUGACAGCCAUAGUGGCUCCUUGAGAAUAUUAUUACGACAACGCAUGUAUGUUUAUGUGCAUCAACAUACUAUAUUGUUUAAUAAGAUUCAAAACAUUCUUGUUUUCUGAUGUUGCUCUUUUUGGCAUGUAUCAGUGUUGGUGCUAAGAAAGUGAAUCUCGCUUGCAUGGAGUUCCAACAGUUGUACAUGGCAAAAAACAAAAAAGGGUUAGUACUCAGUAUCUCAUUAUAUAUAUUGCUCAGUAAUUAUUCUCUACUAUAUGUGUUGCCCAAAUCAUGUACGCAAGCCUGCCAGCUUAUUUUGUCUUCUAUGACUUUAUUUUUAGCUCAUACUAAUAUGAUAUUCUUAAGAACUAAUCUACUUUUUCACUUUGUCCCGAAUCAGGUGAUUGAUAGAACUACGUUCUUUAUUCGAGUAUAUGUCUCUUUGAUGAUUCUCUUGUAACCUGUUGGCUCUAGACUCCAACUAAGUUUUGAGAUAGCUAGUUUUUCUUUCCAAACAGAGGGCUUCAACUGCUCAACCUCUUAAGUUUAGUUUUAUCAACCGCUUCAGAACUUGACAAUAUGGUAUUUUUGCAUUGUCUCAGAUGCCUCAUGGCAUUGGCUCUUCUUAAGGGUGAUUUCUGUGACUUGCGGAACAAGCUCCAAACUUUUAUGCAGGUAGCACCUUAUGUACCUAUGUUGGCUUUUGAAUUCCAAUUUCUUGCUAUUAUGAUAAUAUUUGGAUUGGUCAUAUAUUAUUCAACAUAGAAAAGAAUAAGCUUGAUAUUAUUCUUGUUGCUGCUGAAAUUUAUCUAGCAAUACCUUGUUUGGUUUUUGGAGCACUUGGUUUGAGGUCUUUGAAGGUCCCAUUUGGCCGUUGAAUGUUGUUAUCUUUAUCCUGUCAUCACGUUUUGGCCGUUGAACUCGGUUCCUUAUAUUCCGAGGUUAAGUAAAAAAAAGUUCCAAAAUAAGAUACGGACCACCUUGCAACAUGGCUGAUUUGUGAAACCAUGUAACGUAAGCACCAUUGUGCAUCGUAGACCAGUCAUAAUCAUUACUGCAAAGUACUAGAAUAAAGAUACCGACAACCUUGGAACAUGGAUGAUUUGUGAAACCAUGUAACGUAAGCACCAUUGUGCAUUGUAGACCAGUCAUAAUCAUUACUGUAUUCUUCUUUUGAUGCAGCUGGAGCAGCAGAUCGCGUCCUUGUUUAUUAUGUAGCAGUAAUCAAAGGAAAAAGAGCAUAACCUCGUGAGAUUCCUGGCAUGAUGGUGUGUAUGUAUCUCUGAAGUGACUCUGUUGUGUUGGGCUUUGGACGAGCACACAGAAUCACACCGUGAUUCUUGCUUCAGAAGUCGGGGCUCACCAACACCGUGGAAUGGAACUUGUUGUCUUUUCUAUCGAAUUAUAUAUCUGUUAACUCUAGUUAUCUAUGUUUCAUUGAUGGCCCAUAGGCUGUGCGUAAACUCUAUACCUAGUUGGUUGUUUGGUUGGUGGUUGCGGACUUGGUUAUGUUGUGUGUUGCUGGUUCUUUUUAUCAUCUUAUGAAAUAUUGGUGCCUCCCUUUGGGUGAGGAGUUGGUGCCUGUCUUGAGGUCUCAAGUGUCGUUUUUAGCCACUAUACCGAGAUGUGUGGUUCGUCGGCCUCCUCCCCCACAAGAACCUCACAGUAUCACUGCAGUAGCAAAUUGUCCGAUCUGCCGCCCGGAGGAGAGGGGGAGAUAUGUUGGUGCAGGGCGCCGAAAGGUGAUGCAGGACACCAUCUACUAGGCAAACCCAAUGUUCAGCUUGGAGGUAUUAGAUGGAUUUUCUUGGAAGUAGCAGACCAGUAAAGAGGAUCUGCUGAAGCAAACUGAGAAGGGCUCGGAAGUGUCGGAGAAAAAUGUUAUGCUCAGAGGUGCCGAACCUAAUAGGGAUGAUCUCAAAAUAAACAUAAUUCGGUGGUUCCGAAAAAACAGUCAUGUGCACUUCGGAAGCUAUAGGAAACGUUGUUCUCUCAUUAUGGCCUACUCAUGCCUCAAACAUUGUAGUAUUGGGUGGAAAAACUCAGAGGUACAGGGCACUAAAAAACAAAAAAAAUUGAGUUCCUAGAGUGAAAUACUUGAGGAUUUUGGUUGAGCAUCUUAACUUGGAGUUCCAUCACAUAUCCUUUGCUUUUAUCCUUUUGAUAGUAUGACUGUUCUACAAUCUGUGUGAAUCUUGGAAUCACUAAAAGCCUAUAAGACUGUAUUUUAAGAACUUGAGGUACACAACCACCAGAAGAUACAGAUGUAUGGGUCACCAAUGAUGUUUCAGUAAAGUUUAUGGAUUGAUUUCCUAAGAUAAACUCAUCAAAUGUUCAUUCUCUCGAUCGGUUUGUCCUUAAUCACAAAAACCUAUAAUAGGGCUAUAUAAGUCGAGCUUUCAAUGUUUUAGUUUAGCGACGAGUUUGAAGUCUUAUUGUUGACUUUAUGUGAUAUUUGUGUCCUUUUAGAAACAGUAUGUUCAUUUUUUGAAUUUAAUUCGAACGCAAACUUAUUUUCAGUGGAGGAGCACAUUAUAAAUAAAGAUAGAAUGAGUUUUAGGCUUUUAGGUAUAGAUAACAAGAUUGUAGGCUAGGUGGUGGAGUAGAUACAAAAACUUCUCAUAUUCGCUCUCCUAUUCCUAAAAAAGAUGUUAGGUCACCAAAUAUAGCAGUUCUAUUGCAAUGCUCUUAAUCUACAUUCCGUGCACCUGCAAAACAUAAAAUGUGGCUACUUAUGUCCUACACCACAAGAAAAUGUAUCAAGUGAUGUGUGAAUAGUAAAUGCAUUCACUUAUCUCUUUUCUUCUCACAUGGAUCAUGAGUGCUCGUAUUUCAAACUCGUCGCUAAACUAAAACAUUGAAAAAUGGAGGGAGUAAUAUUUAUAAGUCGAGCUUUCAAUGUUAUAGUUUAGCGACGAGUUGAUGGCCUUGUAUUGAUGCAAAAUGUAUUUUUGAUAGUGGCCUUGUAUAAGGGAAUGGAGGGAGUAAUAUUUUACGUGCAAACAAUACACCAGACCAUAUGCAUAUGUAUAUCUAUAUACCUAUACUAAUUAGGCCCUCCCAAGAAAUUAUCACGUUAAUCAGAAAUUAGAAGCCGUUAAUCUGGUGGGGCCGAGUUAUUACGGUGUAGAUCAAUCUUAGAAAUUUCUAGGUUCAUAAAUAAACAAUCUGGUGGGGCCGAGGUAUUAUGGUGUAGGUCAAUCCUAGAAAUCCUCAAGUCACUGCUACGCGUUCGUCAGCGGAUCUUUUUAAAAGAUUCGUCGCCUCACGAGCCGUUGGAUGAGAUGGAUUGAACGGCCGAGUGUGACCUUUUAUCAUUGCAGCACAGGUCGUGUUGCGGGAAAUUUUUGCAACAUGGGUCAUGUUGCAGAAAUUUUGAAAGAUAAUUUUUUUGCAACAAAGGUCUUUUUAUAGUUUUCGUUGCAACAGAUAUUUGGUUGAAAUUUAGUUUUUUUUGCAACGAAGGUCUCGUUGCAAAUUUAAUUUUUCUGCAAUAGAGGUCUUGUUGCAAUUUUGCAACAGAGACCUUGUUGCGGAAACACACCGUAGUGGACAGCAGCAGCACGUUGAUCGAAAGAACAAAAUAAAGAAAAUGACCGCUCAGUCAGGACACGUGUCGUAUGGACGAGCCGGCGGAGGGAAGAGGCACGAGCGCUGCUGUAAUUGUGGCCAGCGAGAGCACGAGGCCUCGGAAGGUGGUGGCGGUGUAGCAAGCCCUCAUCACGGAGGCCGGUAACACCUCGAGCCGGCACUGCUCUAGGCUGUGGCUUAGGGGGUGAAUGAUAGCCAAAUUAGCCACGGCUAUGCCCAGGGCGCAUCGGGUGCGCGUGCGUCCGUGCGCCAGACGUGCCGGACGUGGUCUAGUCCGCGUUGGGUCCGUAGCCGUGUGUGUGUGUGUGUGUGUGUGUGACCACAUGUAUGUGCGUGUGUGUGUGGGUUAGUUGGCGAGAUGUGCGCGUGCAUGAUCGCGCUGGGCGCUGGACCCGGUCGCGUUUGUGUGCAUGUGUGCACAGCGGCCGCGUGAACCGUGGAGCACGGGCGUGGCAAGAGGGUGAGUGGGCUGGCGUCUGGUACGCGUCGUGGAGCGUUGUUGCGCGCACAUAUAAACCCUCACCCCUCCCGUGUGUUAUAGGUGUGGCUCGAGUUUGUUGCUUGAGGAGAAAAGCCGUUCAGUCAGCGGGCAUUCGGGCGCCGGAAAGAAGUCCACCGUGUGCCCUCCUUCCUUUCUUCUUCUUCUGUACGAGACAGGAGAGAGUCAGGUGACCAGAGAGGCAGCUGCAGUGAGCUAGGGCAAGAGUUUCUGCUCCAACAAUAUCAAUAUGCCAAAAAUAUUCAUUAGCAAUAAACAUAUGUGCACGAUUUAAUGAUGGGCUAUGUGCUGAAAUCUGAGAUGGGCUCUAGGCCCAUAUUGCAAUUUCUGAAAAAUCCCUAAGGGCCCAUGUGGGUUAUAUGGCACUAGGUGUGGUGGGAAGUUUAGUCCCACCCCGGAAGUGGAAGGAGAGUUGGAGUGGUUUAUAAGGGUUUCUCUUCUACAUGCUAUUGGAGCUUGAGAAGAGAAGAGGCCCUCGCGCACUCCUCCUCCGCCGCCCGGCGAGAGUUUUCUGACAGCUGGGCCACGAUCUGAGACGUCGGAUCGUGGGCUGUCACGGACUCGGACGUGGGUCGAGCCCACGUCAGCCGCCACGAACAGAUCACAUCUGCUCACACGCACGCCCACUGUCGUUCCUUUGCUGCUGCUGCCGCCGGUGACUCCAUCCCGUCCGCCACGUACACGGUCGACGGGAGAGCAGGUCUCCGAAACCACGCCCUUCUGGUUCCUGUACGGGGUGAGGGGCGAAUAGGUUUUUGGGCAGCGAUUACGCGACUACUCGCUUCCGAUCGUCUACUUCCUCUACGUCCGCGUCGCCUUCAUCAUCACCAUGUCCACCGACGCCGACCGUGCCGCCGCCGAGAAAGCUGAAGCCGACAAGAAGGUCGCCGAGGACGCCGCUGCUGCCACCAAUGCCGCAGCCUCUGCGUGGCCUACUGGAGGGUAUAACUCGUUUAUCCCGCUCCUGAUUAUUUUCAUAUUAGCAGUACUAGCAGUAUGUGUAGAUUUGUCUACUGUUUGCUUAGUACGUGCAUGUUUAGAUCAGAGUCAGUACAUCAUCAACUUAGUCAAUGCCAUGCUAGUGAUUUACUCAUGGAUUAAUUUAAUCGAGAAAUUGCCUAUUUACUCAACAAUCCAAAAACCUAUUAUGUGUAGGAAUUUCUCGGCAAGUGGCUUUGCCGCUGCACUGAAACCGGAUAAGUUUACUGGUACAUACUUCAAGCGUUGGCGGACUAAGACCACGUUAUGGCUCACGGCUAUGAACGUGUUCUGGGUCACCGGUGUCUCCACGAGAACGAUUGCUCCUGAACAGGAGAAGGCGUUCAAGGAGGCUACCGUUGUGUUUCUCGGAGCAGUUCUUAGCGUGAUCGGAGAUAAACUGGUCGACGCAUAUUUACAUGUGCAUGUCGCCAAGGACUUGUGGGAGGCGCUCGAAUCUAAAUUCGGGGCCGCCGAUGCAGGGAGCGAGAUGUAUAUUAUAGAGCAGUUCCACGAUUACAAGAUGGUUGAAAACUGUCCUGUAUUGGAGCAGGCUCAUGAGAUAAUAUGCAUUGUUAAGGAACUUGAGCUUCUCAAGUGCGAGUUACCGGGCAAGUUUGUCGCGGGCUGGAUAAUCGCUAAGCUCCCUAAUUCCUGGAGGAACUUUGCCACCACUCUGAAACAUCAGAGGCGUGAAUUCUCUGUGGAGGAUGUCAUUGGCCAUCUGAGUGUUGAGCAGAAUUCGAGGGCAAAAGACUCGCACGGAAAAGGGGCCGAAGGGACUUCUGUUGCCAACAUGGUGAACCAGAAGAACUUCAACUCCCACAAGCCCAAGGGAAAGAACGGUGUCCAACACAAUACCGACUUUAAGAAGAAGGGUAAGAAGACCUUCAAGAAGAACAAGAAGGACGAGGGCUGCUUUACUUGUGGUUCGGUUGAACAUUGGGCCAACAAGUGCCCAAACAAGUAUAAGAAGUCAGGACAGGACUCCAAGUCUGUCAACAUGAUUGUGGGCAACAAUGAGAAUGGUGCAUCUGGGUACGGUAAUUUAUUUACUGUUUUUUCAGUGUUUCAACCCAACGAUUGGUGGGUGGACACAGGUGCAGGUGUUCAUGUGUGUGCUGACAUUUCAUUGUUCACUUCUUACCAGGUCACAGGUCACGGGUCAGUAUUGAUGGGGAAUGGCGCGAGUGCUUCUGUUCAUGGUGUUGGCACGGUCGAUCUGAAGUUUACUUUGGGAAGGAUCGUGCAGCUGAAGAACGUGCAGCAUGUCCCCACCAUCAAGAAGAACCUCGCUAGUGGCUCCCUUCUAUGUAGAGAAGGGUUUAAGUUGGUUUUCGAGUCUAAUAAAUUAGUUGUUACAAAAUAUGGACUCUUUGUUGGAAAAGGUUAUGAGAGCGGAGGGAUGUUCCGCCUUUCCCUCGCAGAUUUUUGUAAUAAAGUCGUGAACCAUAUUCAUUCGAAUGUUAAUGAAUCUGAAGUUUGUCAUUCACGUCUUUGUCACAUUAGUUUUGGUGUUAUGACGCGGCUAGCCAAGUUGGAUUUAAUCCCGAGUUUCACUUUAGCCAAAGGUUCUAAGUGCCUUUCAUGUGUGCAAGCUAAGCAACCUCGCAAGCCUCAUAAGGCCGUGGAGGAGAGACACCUGGCACCAUUAGAACUCAUACAUUCUGAUCUUUGCGAGAUGAAUGGUGUGUUGACUAAAGGUGGAAAGAGAUACUUCAUGAUAUUGAUAGAUGAUUCCACUAGAUAUUGCUAUGUGUAUCUGUUAAAUACUAAAGAUGAGGCUCUACACUACUUUAAAAUCUAUAAGGCAGAAGUUGAAAAUCAACUUGAAAAGAAAAUUAAACGAGUCCGGUCAGAUCGUGGUGGAGAGUACUUCUCGAGUGAGUUUGAUUCCUUCUGUGCGGAACACGGCAUUAUUCAUGAGAGGACGCCUCCCUAUUCACCCCAAUCAAACGGGGUUGCCGAGCGGAAAAACUGUACUCUAACUGAUUUGGUUAAUGCCAUGUUAGAUACAUCGGGUUUAUCCAAGGCAUGGUGGGGGGAGGCUAUAUUGACGGCAUGUCAUGUCCUGAAUAAAGUUCCGACAAAGGAUAGUGAGAUCACUCCCUAUGAGAAAUGGGCAAAGAGAAGGACGACACUCUCGUACUUGCGCACUUGGGGCUGUUUGGCGAAAGUCAACGUGCCGAUCCCCAAAAAGCGUAAGCUUGGACAUAAGACCGUGGACUGCAUUAAUUUGGGCUACGCUAAGAACAGCGUUGGCUAUAGAUUUCUAGUAGUGAAAUCUGAGGUACCUGACCAGAAGAUCGGUACAAUUAUGGAGUCUAAGGAUGCUACAUUCUUUGAGGAUAUUUUUCCUAUGAGAGAUAUGCAAAGCACUUCUAGACAGGAAUCUGAGGAGACUCCUGAACCUGCCAUCCCUAUGGAAUAUUAUGAACAAACACAUGAUGAAAAUCCCGAGGAGGAUGACGAGGAAACCCUUGGUAGGGGCAAGAGACAAAGGACUGCAAAGACCUUUGGUGAUGAUUUCUUCGUGUGCCUCGUGGAUGAUACUCCCACUUCUAUUUCAGAAGCGUAUGCCUCUCCAGAAGCUAACUACUGGAAGGAUGCGGUCCAUAGCGAGAUGGAUUCCAUCAUGGCUAACGGGACAUGGGAGAUCACUGACCGUCCCUAUGUUGCAAACCACUGGGAUGUAAGUGGGUGUUCAAAAAGAAGCUUAGGCCCGAUGGUACGAUUGAAAAGUACAAGGCUAGGCUUGUGGCCAAGGGCUAUGACCAGCAAGAAGAGGAAGAUUUCUUUGAUACUUAUUCACCUGUGGCUAGACUGACCACCAUUCGAGUAUUACUCUCGUUGGCGGCCUCACAUGGUCUUCUCGUCCAUCAGAUGGAUGUUAAGACGGCUUUUCUAAAUGGAGAGCUAAAGGAGGAAAUCUACAUGCAACAUCCUGAUGGCUUUGUGAUAGAUGGUCAGGAAAGAAAGGUGUGUAGGUUGAUAAAAUCUUUAUAUGGCCUGAAACAAGCACCUAAGCAAUGGCAUGAUAAGUUUAAUACAACUCUGACAUCUGUUGGUUUCGUUGUUAAUGAGGCUGACAAAUGUGUAUACUAUCGCCAUGGUGGGGGCGAAGGAGUUAUACUGUGCUUGUAUGUUGAUGACAUACUGAUAUUCGGAACAAACCUCAAAGUCAUUGAGGAGGUCAAAUCGUUUCUAUCUCAGAACUUUGAGAUGAAAGACCUUGGUGUGGCUGAUGUUAUCUUGAACAUCAAGCUACUGAGAGAUAAUGAGGGUGGGAUCACACUUCUGCAAUCCCAUUACGUUGAGAAGGUGUUGAGUCGUUUUGGAUAUUCGGACUGCACACCAUCUGAAACACCAUAUGAUCCUAGCGUAUUGAUUCGAAAGUCCAAAGGCAUGGCUAAAGAUCAAUUGAGAUACUCUCAAAUCAUUGGUUCACUGAUGUACCUAGCGAGCGCAACGAGGCCUGACAUCGCGUUUGCUAUGAGCAAACUGAGCCGGUUUGUUUCCAAACCGGGUGAUGUACAUUGGCAUGAUGUUGAGAGAGUUAUGCGCUAUCUGAAAGGUACUAUGAACUAUGGACUUCACUAUACCGGAUACCCGUCGGUACUUGAAGGGUAUAGUGAUGCGAAUUGGAUCUCUGAUGCUGAUGAGAUGAAGGCCACAACUGGGUAUAUGUUUACUCUUGGAGGUGGCGCUGUUUCCUGAAAGUCUUGCAAGCAAACGAUCUUAACGAGAUCGACAAUGGAAGCAGAAUUAACGGCAUUAGACACAUCUGGUGUUGAAGCGAGAUGGCUUCGAGAUCUUUUGAUGGACUUGCCAUUGGUUGAUAAACCGGUUCCGGCUAUCCUUAUGAACUGUGACAAUCAGACUGUCAUCACCAAGGUGAAGAGUUCAAAGGACAACAUGAAGUCCACCAAACACAUAAGAAUGAGAUUAAAAGCUGUCAGAAAAUUAAGAAACUCCGGAGUGAUAGCGUUGGACUAUGUCCAUACGGCUAAGAAUCUAGCAGAUCCCUUUACAAAAGGGCUAUCACGUGUUGUGAUAGAUAAUGCAUCGAGGGAGAUGGGUAUGAGACCCACAUGAGUUGCCAUGGUGGUAACCCAACCUAUAUGAUCGGAGAUCCCGUGAACUAGGACCUGGGAAAACAAGCCAGUGGUGAACUGAGGAGAGUAACUAUACUAACCCACUCCGUUGGAGAUGCAAUACUCUCGAUACUGUAUGGUAGGAUGACUACGGUCUCAAUGUGUUCCAAAGCUUAUAAAAGCAAGAUGCUAUCCUACAGAGCGAUCUUUGGAGGAACACACCUAUAUGAGCCCGACUGCUGGUCACAGUCUAUGAGAUUGGGGUGAUCUCUAGUAAGCUCAUGAAUAGGCCAGGAGUGUGACUUAUAUGCUCCACCCGAGGGGUCAGCCUUCGGCAGCCUAGUACUAGUAAGACAUGUAGUGAAACUUCUUUACGCCAAACUGACAAUUCAAGGCAUAGUCCAUUGUUCAGUUGUGAAGGAGUGUAGCCACUUGUUCUAGGUGAAGUUCAACCUUAACAGGUCUUUACUGAAACACUGGUAUAUCGAAACAACAAUUGGAACAGAGGACACAAUGGGCCCUCGAGAUCUGGUGGGGGAUUGCUGAAAUCUGAGAUGGGCUCUAGGCCCAUAUUGCAAUUUCUGAAAAAUCCCUAAGGGCCCAUGUGGGUUAUAUGGCACUAGGUGUGGUGGGAAGUUUAGUCCCACCCCGGAAGUGGAAGGAGAGUUGGAGUGGUUUAUAAGGGUUUCUCUUCUACAUGCUAUUGGAGCUUGAGAAGAGAAGAGGCCCUCGCGCACUCCUCCUCCGCCGCCCGCCUCGCCACGCCUCGUCACGACGCGCCGCGCCGCGGGUUGCGGGAUUGAGCCGAACCGAGCUCACACCUACGCGCUUAUUUUUGCCAGUCACUAACGGAGAGUUUUCUGACAGCUGGGCCACGAUCUGAGACGUCGGAUCGUGGGCUGUCAUGGACUCGGACGUGGGUCGAGCCCACGUCUCUCCACGCGGCUGCGCCUAUAAGUAUGCGGUGUCUCCUAACCCUAGCCGCCACAAAUAGAUCACAUCUGCUCACGCGCACGCCCACCGUCGUUCCUUUGCCGCUGCUGCCGCCGGUGACUCCAUCCCGUCCGCCACGUACACGGUCGACGGGAGAGCAGGUCUCCGAAACCACGCCCUUCUGGUUCCUAUACGGGGUGAGGGGCGAAUAGGUUUUUGGGCAGCGAUUACGCGACUGCUCGCUUCCGAUCGUCUACUUCCUCUAUGUCUGCGUCGCCUUCAUCAUCACCAUGUCCACCGACGCCGACCGUGCCGCCGCCGAGAAAGCUGAAGCCGACAAGAAGGUCGCCGAGGACGCCGCUGCUGCCACCAAAGCCGCGGCCUCUGCGUGGCCUACUGGAGGGUAUAACUCGUUUAUCCCGCUCCUGAUUAUUUUCAUAUUAGCAGUACUAGCAGUAUGUGUAGAUUUGUCUACUGUUUGCUAAGUACGUGCAUGUUUAGAUCAGAGUCAGUACGUCAUCAACUUAGUCAAUGCCAUGCUAAUGAUUUACUCAUGGAUUAAUUUAAUCGAGAAAUUGCCUAUUUACUCAACACUAUGCAAUUGGAAAAGUGACGCUUUCCUGCCUUCCUUGCGUCAGUGACCAGUGGGGCUUUGGCUAAGGGCCGAACGAGUGGUCAAAGUCAUCUGCUUGCCUCCUGGGUGCCGCCGUGACUAGCUGGCCCGGCAUCCAUCCAUCAAUCCACCAAAAUGUAGCUGCAUCCAUGCACACGUACGCCAUCUUCAACUUUAAGCUCUUCAUUGAUGACGGCCAGCCAGUAGAGCACUCCCUGCCAAACGGCUCCGUGACCUGCCUGCACACCUCUCAUCUCCUCUCCUCGUCCACUCCGCCGGCAGCUUCGAAUUCCAUCUCAGUGUUUGCUCUGUCCUCGCUUCGCCAUGUCGGCCGCCGAGCUAAGGUGCCAGCUUAACGCGCGCAUCAGCUACAUGNNNNNNNNNNNNNNNNNNNNNNNNNNNNNNNNNNNNNNNNNNNNNNNNNNNNNNNNNNNNNNNNNNNNNNNNNNNNNNNNNNNNNNNNNNNNNNNNNNNNNNNNNNNNNNNNNNNNNNNNNNNNNNNNNNNNNNNNNNNNNNNNNNNNNNNNNNNNNNNNNNNNNNNNNNNNNNNNNNNNNNNNNNNNNNNNNNNNNNNNNNNNNNNNNNNNNNNNNNNNNNNNNNNNNNNNNNNNNNNNNNNNNNNNNNNNNNNNNNNNNNNNNNNNNNNNNNNNNNNNNNNNNNNNNNNNNNNNNNNNNNNNNNNNNNNNNNNNNNNNNNNNNNNNNNNNNNNNNNNNNNNNNNNNNNNNNNNNNNNNNNNNNNNNNNNNNNNNNNNNNNNNNNNNNNNNNNNNNNNNNNNNNNNNNNNNNNNNNNNNNNNNNNNNNNNNNNNNNNNNNNNNNNNNNNNNNNNNNNNNNNNNNNNNNNNNNNNNNNNNNNNNNNNNNNNNNNNNNNNNNNNNNNNNNNNNNNNNNNNNNNNNNNNNNNNNNNNNNNNNNNNNNNNNNNNNUUCGUCCCGAGGUCAUCAACAUGUUCCUCCACGAGGCCGACAUGAUGCUCAAUGACAUCACCAGCCUUCUGUCCGUGCCGUACCACCGCACCAAGCCCUCUGCUUUCCUUAGCCCCAUCGUCCUGGGUAUUGAUUUCGUAUCCUCUGCUUAAUUUGUGAUUCCCUCCUAGGAACCUGCCCAUCGUCGACUUCGAAAUGGUGGGCAAACUAGUGCACCAGCUCAAGGCGUGCAGCGGCAGGUGAUUAUAUGUUUCCCACACUGCAUCGAUGUCGAUCGUGCCAUUGAAAUGUAUUUGUCAUGGGCAUACCCCGGUUGUUGUUGUUUGCGCUAUCCUGUAACCCUAAUUACAAGUGUGGAGCUUAAUUGUAUUUCAUGCCUAACGGAAGUACCGGCAUUCAUCCAACCACAAUGUUGUUAUGGCUUGGCCAGAAAUUAGAACUUUGUUGUCUUGCGAGCCUUCCUGGAAUUAGCGGUAUGCUAUUCAGCAUAACACCGAUGGUGAUUUCCCGGUCUGUCCAUGUUUCUAUUAGGAUGUGUCGGUGCAGUGUCGUCUGCGGUUGUCGUAUAUACAUAAGUAGAAAAGUUGAGUUUAGUAGUCUUUUAUAUAAUAGAAUUGUCUGCAUUAAUUCCUCUCAAUGGCAACACUAAAACGCGUCAAGGAAAACUUUGUCAUCUUGCAAAAAUUCAAGUACUAUUGAAUGUGAUAUUCAGCAAUNNNNNNNNNNNNNNNNNNNNNNNNNNNNNNNNNNNNNNNNNNNNNNNNNNNNNNNNNNNNNNNNNNNNNNNNNNNNNNNNNNNNNNNNNNNNNNNNNNNNNNNNNNNNNNNNNNNNNNNNNNNNNNNNNNNNNNNNNNNNNNNNNNNNNNNNNNNNNNNNNNNNNNNNNNNNNNNNNNNNNNNNNNNNNNNNNNNNNNNNNNNNNNNNNNNNNNNNNNNNNNNNNNNNNNNNNNNNNNNNNNNNNNNNNNCAAUGGUGGGUAUUCUCGUUUCUCCACGUUUCUAUUCGGAUGUGUCAGUGAUGUGUCAUUUGCGGUUGUCAUAUACAAAUAAAUAGAAGAGCUAAGUUUAGUUGUGUUUCGUAUUUCAUAUAAUGGAAUACUCAGCAUUCCUACCAAUGGCAAUUCUAAAACUCUAGGAAAACUUUGCCGUCUUGUGGAAAUUUCUCGUACUAUUGAAUGUGAUAAUCGACAAUGGCAUUAUUUUAGGUCAGCGAUAAAAUUUCCGUUCUGAAAAUAUUUAUAGUAUUAAUGAUCUCCUCAUGUAACGCAAAUGGCUAUUUUCCAGUUUCUCCGCUACAUACAUUGAUGAUGUCUCUAUGUGGAUGUGUCGGCGUGGGUGUGUAUACGUUGUGGGCGUGCGCCUCGUGCGGUUGGUGUUGUCAUUUAGCCAUAAUUCAAAAGAUGAAUUUAGUUAUGUUUUGUGCACUGGAAAUGCUGAUGUAUAUUAAUGUCGUUUGGUUAGGGAAACUCUAACGUUUUAUAAAUAUCUCUAGCACUACUAACUACUAUAGCACAUAAUACCAACGCUAUUUUCUGUUUAGGGUUAUGAAACACUUUAUUGUGUUGAUUACCUUGACGAAUAGCUCCUCGAGAAUAUUAUUAUGACACCGCAAUUAUGCUUAUGUUCAACAUUCCAUAGUGUUUGUUAAGUUUGGGAAAUUUCUAGUUUCUUGAUCGUGCUCUUUUUGGCAUGUAUCAGCGUUGGUGCUAGGAAAGUUAACCUUGCCUGCGUGCACUUCCAGCAGUUCUAUGUGGGAAAAAGCAAAGAAAGGUCAGUUCUUGUUACCUUAUUAUAUAUGUACCACAGUAAUUACUCUCUACUCUCUAUGCUUAUCAAAUCCCCUGUGUGAAACCUGCCAACUUAUUUUGUCUUUAAUGACACUAUUUUUGGCUCAUAUAAAUCUAAUAUUCAUAAGCACUAACCUGCUUAUUCACUUCAUCGCCAAUCAGCUGAUUGAUAUAACUCACUUCUUUAUCUAUAUGAUAAUUCUCUUGUAACUUGUUAAUUCUAGACAUUUGUUUAUACCACAAUUAAGUUUUGAGAUGGCUAGAGUUCUUUCUCAAACACUAGGUUACAAUUUCCGAAGCAUUCAGAUUCAGUUUGCUUAACCACUUGAGAAUGUGACAGUGUGGUGUGUUUGCAUUAUUUCAGGUGCCUCAUGGCAUUGAAUGUUCUUAGGAAUGAGUUCUACGAUGUGCACGACAGGCUACAGACCAUUAUGCAGGUAGCAUCUUAUUUUCCAAUGUUGGCUUUUGACUUCCAACUUCUCGCAAGUAUCAACAAUAUGUAGACUGGUCACAUAUUGUUUAAGAUAAAAAAAAGUAAUUACGUUGAUCUUAUUCUUGUUACUAUUGAAAUUUGUAUAGCAAUACAUUGUUUGGUUUCUGGAGCACUUUGUACGAGGUCUUUGAAAGUCCCAUUUGUCGUUGAAUGUUUCUGUCUUAAUAUUGUCACGAUGGUUCGUUAGAUGCUUAGGCUAACUCCAAAAAACCAGUUGUGUUUCCCAGCUUAACUUAACCUUUGCCAAGUACUGGAAAAAUAUACCGACAUAAAUUAAGCACCACUGUACUUUGUAGACCUGUCAUAAUCUAUCAUUAAUCUACUCUUGUUUUGAUGUAGUUGGAGCAGCAGAUUGCAACCUUGGGUCCUAAUUAAGUAGCAGUAAUCGAAGUUAAAAAAGCAUAGCCCCAUGUGCUCUGGAAUGAUGGCGUGUAUGUAUCCUUGAAGAUGUAGGCAGUUCAACGGUUGCUGGGCUUUGGACGGGGCGCGUGGAAUCACAUGGAAAUUCUUGCUUCGGCACUCCGGGCUCGCAAGCACCCUGCAAAUGGAAUUUUUCUCUUUUAUGUUAGUGCCUUUGUCUGUUAACUAUAUAUACUUGUGUGUCAUAGAUGGUCUGCGGCUGUGUGUAAACUCUAUACUUGGUUGGGUACUUUUUGGCUUGGUCUUAUUGUAUGUUGCUCGCUGUUUUUAAUACCGUCUUGUGAAAUGUUAUUUCCUCCAGCUAAAAUAUUAUUGUUGGCUGGUGUACCGAGAGGAAUUCCUUGCUGGCCUCCGCCACCACCAUCAGAAUCUCAUACCAUCGCCGCAACACCAAACUGACCAUUUUGCAGACGGAGGAGAAAAGGAGAUAUGAUGGGUAGGGCCACCGGAAGGUGCUGCGGGACAACAUUUCAUGGGUCAUGAGGCUUGCAGUCCACCAGCGAGGCAGAUAUUUAAUGGACAUGAAUCACAUUUGAACUAUAUGUGCAAUGAAGUACUCCCUCCAAUCCAAAAAAAAGUGUCGCAACUUUGAAUUGAGGUUAGUUCAACCUUAGUUCAAAGUUGCGACAAUUAUUUUGGAUCGGAGGGAGUAUAAGUCCUUGAGCGUAUAUAUAGGUCAUAUGCAAGAAAUUCUUGGAAAAUUUUACAGGUUAAUUUAAUAUGCGGUGUUUGCCUCGAGGUCGCCUUUAGUUUCUAUUAAAUCCAUUUCAAAUUUAAUCACAUACUCUAUAUCUCCACUACUAUUAAAAGAGCAAACAAGAAUUGCACUAAAGACACACCACAAACUGUACACGAAUUACCAGAGACGUUCGAUCAGUGUAACUAACUCACAUCUAACAAUCAAUAUUACAUCAAAAGUCUACCACCCAAAUAAACAAACCAGAUUGAAUGUUCUGUCAAAGCAGACUGCCCCGCCCCACGCACUCAUUCAUCCUCAGAUAGUGGGAUUAUCAUUACCCCAACCCGUAAUUUUAUCUCUGCCACAAAACUUUGCCGCUCCUCCUCUGCUGGCCCAAUCCCGUAAUUUUAUCACAGAUUUGUGAGCAGGAACGCUGCCGCCGCCCGGCGCUCCUCCUCUACUUCCCCAUGGGCGCAAGAAAACGGAGCCAACAGCCCCUUUUAUUUCUUACAACUCGGCCAAUCCAUUGUUAGAAUCCUCAUACACCACUAUUGUUUUGAAUUCAUUCGACGGAAAGGAUAAUGCGAUAUUAGAAGUUUAGAACUCAUAUUUGGGAAAAGGCGACAGAGUGUGAGAGGAUGUGUAUCUCGGACUUAGCAUGCUUUCCUGAUUAACUAAAUCAUGAUUUUUAGCUUUUUGCCCACUACCGAAACAAUAACCUAUUUUCCUACACUUCCCGUAGUUACUGAUUUAAGUGUAAUUAUUUUAAGUUAUUAUCUAGGUGGGUGAACCAUGUACCAUAUACAAUAUUUUUCAGCUAGGUUGGUCGUUGGCAUUUCUGUCCUAGCUGCGAGCUUAUUGAUUCAUCUGAUUAACAGAUGUUGAUUGGUUUUUUUGUCAGAUAAGGCAGAGUUCCAGAUUGCAACAUAAGUAGAAUGUGGACUACUAGGAGCAGUCAGUGGGCUUGUACUGUGUUUCUAUUGAUUUUUUGUGUCCCCUUGUUUGAUUGAACAGGAAUGCAGUUCUUAUUUUCGACGAGGAUAUUAGUAUGGUGGAUGAUUGCUACGAUUAUCUUUUGUAGAAUUGAUGCUGCUUGAAAGGCACACCAACAUAUUGAUGUAGUUUAUCUACCUUCUCUGUCCUUCUUAAGGUUAGUGAAUGGUUUCAUAAUAUGAUGCUAUUUGUGAUUAAACCGCAGAGGCCUUCAUUUUUUCCACAUGAUUUUUAAAAUCUACUAGCUAGAGUCAUGUUUGGACAUAUUUUUCUUUUCCUCGGGCAAAAUGAAAAUUAGUCAUGUGCUGAUUCUAUAGUGUAUGGUUCUGUUCACCAUCACCAUCAUCAAGCUAUUUUAUCACAAGGGCAAAACUAACAUAAAUUAUUUAUUUUUCAGGUACCAAUGAUUAAAUGGUUUCUGCAGGUCUCGAGCAUGGUUUCUUUCUGAUUGCGAGGAUGAAUUUUACAAAGAGGAUGUUUGAGAAUGUAAUCACAUCACUAUACAUGUUUUCUAAGCAUCUAAGAGCACUUUGUGUUCAGUUUCAUGCUAUAAGUUUAUAGCUCAAAUGUAGAGAUGCAUAGCUUGACUCUAUAAGUAAGGGUGGCCUCAUUUGAUAUACUUGGGUUGUGAACAGGUGAUUGUGUGGCUGAAGAAUGAUGUGAAUGAUUGGAAGUGCUCCAACCAGUAAGCAUUCAGGUGAUGCCUGCAGUAGACAUAGUGUUUUUUAGGAUGAGAGUAUUCAUGUGGAAAUUUUCGGUGAGCAGACAAAGACCGAGCAAAAUAUGGGUUGAAUUUGUUGUGCUAAAGAUACCGGCAGAAUUCAUUGUUGAGUUCUGAAUUCAUCAAGUUUGUGUUAGCUGUGCUGGAAGGUCAGGGUGCAGAAUUUGUGAAGUGUUAUAUACACGAACCAGUACAUUCUUCUUUCCGAAGGAGCUGUUUGCUUUCCUGGUGAUAAGGCACUUUGGAAUAGCUGGGUGCCAUGGAACUGCAAGAUUUUCACUUGCUUGGCUUUGCGGCAUCGAGUAUGGACAUCUGAUCGUCAAGUUAGAAGAGGGUUACAGGACCAUAUUUUGCCCUUUUUCUCUGAGCAGGAUGAGGACAUUGUCGAUCGCAUCACACUUAAGUGUGUAUAUGCUCGACAGGUAUGGCAUCACUAUCUUCGAUCGACUCAUCUUGAUGUUGUCCCUGCUCCUUCCGUCACUGAUAAUCUUCAGGAUUGGUGGGGAGGUAUCUCCAGUUCAUUCCCAAAGUAACGAUGUGGUUUUGGUUAUCUUGUGAUGCAUGUGUGCUAGAGCCUAUGGAAGCAACGCAGUGCUAGGGCAUUCAAUAAUGCUCACCUCUGUGUUCUCAUUCUUUCUGACCUAUUGCGGGAGGGAAGAGGAUGGCUGGAUUAUCUGAGUAGUCCAUUGUAAUAUGUGUUGGUGGUGGAGCGUGGAUGCCGUCCCCCUUUGGGGUGCUCUUGUAACUUGUGUUCUCUCCUAUAAAAUUAUGGUUCAAAUUUGCGUACUCUUCAAAAAGAAAUAUACACAAACCAAAGAGAAAUUAUAUCACUGUCCUGAUACAAUUUAUUGCUGGUAGGUGGAAUGAACCUCUUGAAUCAUUCUUGCAUAUAGGUAAUUCACUAUAUUUUAUUAAAUUUACUUGAUACACCAUUACAUAAUUUAUGUUCAAUUUUCUUGAAGAAAUUUCCAAAAACAUCUAGUUCAAGAAUAUUUUUGGAGGAACUGCGGUAUGAAUAAUGUUUUUUUUUAUUUUUUGUACUCUUCAAGUGUUAUUCAGGUGUCUCACGGCAUUGAAUCUUCUUAGGAACGAGUUCUAUGAUGUGCGCGGCAGGCUACAGGCCAUUAUGCAGGUAGCAUCUUAUGCAUCUAUGUUGGCAUUUGACUUCCAACUUCUCACAAGUAUCGUAAAUACGUAGACUGGUCAUAUAUUGCUUAAGAUAAAAAACAAUAAUAACCUUGAUCUUAUUCUUGUUACUGUUGAAAUUUUUCUAGCAAUAUGUUUUUUGGUUUCUGGAGCACAUAGUUCGAGGUUUUCGAAAGUCCCAUUGAUGUUUCUGCCUUAAUUUUGUCACAAUGUUUCGUUAGAUGUAUACAGUAGCUAAAAAAAAGCAGUUGUAUCUCCUUGUUUCCCAGCUCAACUUAACGUUUGCCAUGUACCCACUUAAGCAGCACUGUACUUGGUAGACCUGUCAUAAUAAUCUAUUGUUCUUUUGAUGUAGCUGGAGCAGCAGAUUGCAGCCUUGGGUCCUAAGUAGCAGUAAUUGAAGCCAAAAGAGCAUAGUCCCGUGUGAUCUGGCAUGAUGCGGGAGAUGUAUCUCUCAAGAUGUAGUCAACAUUCAGCAGUUGCUGGGAUUUUGGAGGGGGCGCGUGGAAUCACAUGAUGAUUCUUGCUUUGGCACUCCGGGCUCGCGACCACCCUGCAAAUGGAACUUGUUGUCUUGUGUGUCGAUGUCUUUGUCUAUCAACACUAUAUACUUGUGUGUCGUGGAUGACCUGUUGGCUGUGCGUAAACUCUAUAUUUGAUUGGUUGCUUUUUGGCUUGGUUUUCUUGUAUGUUGUUUGUUGUUUUUAUUUACCGUCUUGUGAAAUGUUGUUUCCUCCCCUUUGGGUGAGGGGAGAGAUUUGUUGGUUCUUGAACCAUGCUAAAAUCUAGUUGUUGGCUGGUAUACCGAGAGGUGUUGCUUCCUGGCCGCCGCCACCACCAUCAGAAUAUCGCAGCAUCGCCGCAACAGCGAAUUGAUCGUUUGUCCGCCAGAGAAGAACAACAGAGAUAACCAAGGGGUUGCCACCCAGCCAGACAAGAUGAUGCAUUCUAAUACGUAGUUAUCUUUUCUAUAGAUUUUGUUAUCUGUGACGCUGGUUAAAGAGCCCACACAAAGUCGAAGCCCACGCAAGGUUGAGUGUCGACGUUGCUGGGUUGGGCCUUCGCCUGACAGGUUCCUCCCGUUGUUUCGCUGGGCCUGUGCAUGGAUGCAAAUUCUAAUUAUACCAAGAAACAGAUGCAUGGAUAUUUCAUGUUGUACGGGGAAAAAGACGGCCUUGCAUCAAGCGAGGCAUGGCUAGCCGGCGAUGUCCAGAUGACCGUCCGUGGUCUGGGCGUCUAAUAGGCACGGAUGACCUUACAUGGAACUUCCAACUACGCCCCCACAAAAAGAGACUCCCAACUACCCUAUGCACCGAUGACCUUACGUGGAAUUCCCAACUACACUAUGGCUCCUUUGUGAUUGUGCGGCUGAUAUGUAUUUCUUCUAGACCUCGGCGUGCGCCUCCCUGCCGUCGGUAGCACUGUUGGGUGUUUAGGUGAAUGGGACAAUCAGUUUUGCAUACAUAGGUGGAACAACUAGCGUUUCUUCGUAGUGUACUCGCUAUGAACCAUUGUGAUUGCACAUAACCCUAAUUUUCUUUCCCGUUGCAACCCACGGACAUAUGUGCUCGUCCUGUACGUACUAAUGAAACCGGGAGUCUGCUGAAGACUAAGAAAUAAUCGCCGGAGCCAGGAGUCAAAGACACGAUUUAUACAAGAGAUAACCCAGGGGUUGCCACCCAGCCAGACAAGAUGAUGCGUUCUAAAGUGAAGUUAUUUUUUCUAUAGAUUUUGUUAUCUGUGGCGCGGGUUAAAGAGACAACCGAGGGGUUGGUACCCAGCCAGACAAGAUGAUGCGUUCUAAAGUGAAGUUAUUUUUUCUAUAGAUUUUGUUAUCUGUGUCGAAGCCCACACAAGAUUGAGUUUCCACGUUGUUGGGCUGGGCCUUCGCCUGGCGGGUUCCUCCCGUUGUUUCUUUGGGCCUGUGCAUGGAUGAAAAUUCUAAUUAUACCAAGAAACAGAUGCACAGAUAUUUCAUGUUGUCCGGGGCAAAAGACGGCCUUGCGUUGAGCGAGGCUUAUCUAAAAAAAGAAAAAACAAGCGAGGCAUGGCUAGCCGGCGAUGUCCAGAUGAUUGCCCAUGGUCUGAGUAUCUAGUAGGCACCGAUGACCUUACGUGGAAUUCCCAACUACGCCCCCGCAAAAAAAAACCCCAAUGCUAUGCACCGAUGACCUUACGUGGAACUCCCAACUACGCUAUGGCUCCUUCUGUGAUUGUGCGGCUGAUAUGUAUUUCUUCUAGACCUCGGCGUGUGCCUCCCUACCGUCGGUAGCACUGUUGGAUGUUUAGGUGAAUGAGACAAUCAGCGUUUCUUUGCAUAUAUAGGUGGGACAACUAGCGUUUCUUCAUAGUGUAUUCGCUAUGAACCAUUGUGAUUGCACAUAACCCUAAUUUUCUUUUCGGUCGCAACGCACGGGCAUAAGUGCUAGUGUGCAUGCUUGUGCGUGUGUGUCCGAAUUCCAAAUUAUUCUUGAUACAACAAGGCUUGUCCAGUAUAUCCUCACUUGCCUGUUUAUUUCGCGGGCUCCAUUCUUUUUUCUGCCCCACCCCUUUCUUUCCUUAGCUGACAAAUGCGACCAGCUUCGCUCCACGAACACUAUCUCUGUUAGCUUAAUCCAAACAAGUUUAAAGUUUAGAUUGCAAGGUGGUUUAGUCAUAUCUUUGCAUGUGAUGAUGUUAAGCAAAGAGUCCGGCUAGGAGUAGUAAAUAGCCGUGUAUCCAAGUAGUACACUGGUAGAAAAGGGGGCAAUGGUCCAGGCUGGGUCAGCCCAUUAGUCCCGGCUCAAUCCAGAACUGGGACCAAUGGGCGCAUUGGACCCGGUUCGUGAGCCCUGGGUGCCGGCCGGGCCACGUGAGCCAUUGGUCCCGGUUCUUCUGGACCUUUUGGUCACGGUUGGUGGGACGAACCGGGACCAAUGGGCCUUGGUCCUGGCCCACCACCAUUGGCCCCGGUUGGUGGGACGAACCGGGACCAAAGGCAGCCCAUUAGUCCCGGUUGGUGGCACAAACCGGGACUAAAGGGGUGGUCCUCGUUGCGGCCAGAGUUUAGUCCCACCUCGCCAACCGAAGGGGGCUCACACCGGUUUAUAAGCCCCUCCCUCUCUGCCUUGUUGAACUGUUCUCAAAGUGAAAAUAGAUGCCCUUAUACAGGAAAUUUGACCUAAAUUCAUAUUGAAUUUCUCUGAAGUUAGUAGAAAUUUAUUAUGAAUUUAGGUCUAAUUUUCUCUAUAAGCGCAUCUAUGCUCAUUUCUGAGUAGUUUUUUAUAUAGUUUUUUUUCUGCUAUAUUUAUUUUUUUCUAUUUAUUUCUGAGUUGUAAUAAGUUAUUAAAAAUAAAAAAGAUUUUAGUAAAGUUAAUCACAACUAUUUUUUCUUCUAAUUAUUUCUGAGUAGUUUUUUAUAUAGUUUUUUUUCUUUUCUGCUAUAUUUAUUUUUUUCUAUUUUUUUCUAUGUGGUAAUAAGUCAUUAAAAAUAAAAAAGAGGCACAAUGCUAGUUAAUUCUCUUCAAGCCUUUCGGAAUAGUGUAAACUGCACUGCACAUAGCUCCGUGCAGUCUACCCUAUUCCUCAAGGAUUGAAGCGAACCAACGUGCAGGUGAGCAUUGAGCCUCUUCUUCAUCGUCUCUGCACUCAGGACUUAUAAACAGCUGCUAGUGCCUCUCGCUUGGCGAGGUGGGACUAAAAAGGGGGCAAUGGUCCAGGCCGGCCGGGUCAGCCCAUUAGUCCCGGUUCAAUCCAGAACCGGGACCAAUGGGGGCAUUGGACCCGGUUCGUGAGCCCCGUGGGCCGGCCGGGCCACGUGGGCCAUUGGUCCCGGUUCGUCUGGACCUUUUGGUCUCGGUUGGUGGGACGAACCGGGACCAAUGGGCCUUGGUCCUGGCCGACCACCAUUGGCCCCGGUUGGUGGGACGAACCGGGACCAAAGGCAGCCCAUUAUGGUUUGCCCCUCGUGAUACCCUGCCAACUUUCAACUUUCAACUUUUUCAGAGUUCAUUUGAAAUGCUUUAAUGCAGAAAACGAAAGAAAAUAAAUAAUGCAGAAAACAAAAGAAAAAAACUGGGAAAAAAAUAAAAUAAAUAAAGCAAAAAUAAAACAAAAAAAGUGUAUUCAAAUUUGAAAACUAAUGGCACUAACAGAAAGUUUAUAAUUUUUCUAAAACUAAAAGCAAAAAGAAUUAAAAAGUAAAGCAAAAAAAAAUGCAGAAAACAAAACAAAAAAUCUGGGGAAAAAAUAGCAACAAUAAGUAUUUUCUUGUAAGUAGAAACAAAAUAAAAUAAAUAAAGCAUGAAACAAAACAAAAAACCAAAAAAAAUGUUUUCAAAUUUGAGAACUAAUGGCACUAACAGAAAGUUUAAAAUUGUUCUAAAACUAAAAGCAAAAAGAAUUAAAAAAUAAAGCAAAAAACAAAAGAAAAUAAAUAACGCAGAAAACAAAACAAAAAAUCUGGGAAAAAAAUAAAAAUAGCAACAAUAAGUAAAGGGAAAAAAAGUGCCUCCUACUGGGCACCCACGGCCUGAAUACGACUAGAAACCCACCAUGGGCCAGGAUUCAGGCCCGCAGGAGGCCCAGUAGGCCCAUCAGGCAACGCGGUAGUAAGUAGGCCCGUAAGCCUGCAGUGGAGAGGAGCUCGAGAGGGGUGCGGCAGUGGGGCUUAUAAACCACUGCGCGCCCCUCUCAGCUAGCAAGGUGGGACUAAAAUUUCGUGCCGAACCGUGCCAGCACACGACCAUUGGUCCCGGUUCGUGGCUCCAACCGGGACCAAUGCCCACCCUUUAGUCCCGGUUGGUGGCACCAACCGGGACCAAAGCCCUAUGCUUCCCGCCCUUUCGGCUGCUGAAAAGAGGCCUUUGGUCCCGGUUGGUGGUACCAACCGGGACUAAAGGGGGUCAUUGGUCCCGGCUGGUUGCUAUAUAAGGAAAAUUUCAGAACCGCAUCCCAACUUCGAUCUCUCCUCCUCCUCUCGAUCUCNNNNNNNNNNNNNNNNNNNNNNNNNNNNNNNNNNNNNNNNNNNNNNNNNNNNNNNNNNNNNNNNNNNNNNNNNNNNNNNNNNNNNNNNNNNNNNNNNNNNNNNNNNNNNNNNNNNNNNNNNNNNNNNNNNNNNNNNNNNNNNNNNNNNNNNNNNNNNNNNNNNNNNNNNNNNNNNNNNNNNNNNNNNNNNNNNNNNNNNNNNNNNNNNNNNNNNNNNNNNNNNNNNNNNNNNNNNNNNNNNNNNNNNNNNNNNNNNNNNNNNNNNNNNNNNNNNNNNNNNNNNNNNNNNNNNNNNNNNNNNNNNNNNNNNNNNNNNNNNNNNNNNNNNNNNNNNNNNNNNNNNNNNNNNNNNNNNNNNNNNNNNNNNNNNNNNNNNNNNNNNNNNNNNNNNNNNNNNNNNNNNNNNNNNNNNNNNNNNNNNNNNNNNNNNNNNNNNNNNNNNNNNNNNNNNNNNNNNNNNNNNNNNNNNNNNNNNNNNNNNNNNNNNNNNNNNNNNNNNNNNNNNNNNNNNNNNNNNNNNNNNNNNNNNNNNNNNNNNNNNNNNNNNNNNNNNNNNNNNNNNNNNNNNNNNNNNNNNNNNNNNNNNNNNNNNNNNNNNNNNNNNNNNNNNNNNNNNNNNNNAAUUUGUUCAUAUUGUGUUAGAUUUUUUUGGUGUAAUUAAUGUGUUCAUAUUGUGUUAGAUUUUUUUCUGUUAAUAGAUUUUUUUGGUAUUAAUUUGUUCAUAGUAUGUUUGGUGAUAUUAUUGUUAAUAGACUUUUUUGGUGAUAUUUAGAUUGUGUUAGUAAUUAAGUACUAUAAUUGAACUAGCUAGUUAGAAAAAUAUAAUUACUACUUUAUUUAUUUAUAGUAAGUGCUUAGUAGUUGAACUAGAUAGUUGAUUUAAUUAAUAAAACUACUUUAUUUUAACUAUAUAUAGAAGUACGUAGUUCCCGCAUCGACGUCGGCGAUGCCUAUCCCGCAUCCUCGUCGUCGUCGACUCGGCGGUGGAGGCCUGCUUGAUCAGGGCCUUGUUCGGGACUGGGCUCCGCCGAGCUGGUAUUGGGAGGUGCUACCUUCUGGGGGACGUAGGUUGGUGAGGAGGCAGCCCGUUGUUGACCCGAUCCUUGUUUGGUGGCGGUCGCGUGGGCCAGUGACGGUACCGAGGCUUCCGGACACCGCGGAGGUGGUACGUCACCGUGUCAGCGAGGAGGACGAGCACGUCCGUCGCUACAUGGUUGCGUUGGAGAGCAGGUUCGACAAUACCUGGCAGGUUCUUCAGGGAUCUCACUGGAGCUAUGAUCCUGUGAUCGUUCCUUAUCUUUGGGUGUCCACCGCCCGCGACGAUACCCGUCGGGCGCUACGGUUCUAGCUGUAUUAAUUAGCGAUGCUAUAUGUAUGAUAGUAUUCGAGGAGUAUUUGACGAUGUACGGACACAAGAGAUGAUGUACUUUUGGUUAUAAUUGAAUGCAUGCUAAUUUGAAUACUACUUUAUUUUACGAUUUGGUUUUGCUUAUUGAAUGCUCAUAUUGGAAAAGUACUCCUACUUUGACUGCUCAUAUUUGGUUUACGCCGUCGUGGGGGUAGCUUCUCCUUCAUUCCCGUGUGCUAGAUAAUUUGUUGUAAUAAUGCACUCGGGAAUGAAAGGAGGAGCUACAUACCAUCACCGAUAGUCAACCCGUGAUUAAUAAUAAUGAUCUGAUUUAGGUUUUUUAGUACAUAUAUUUAAUAUUUGAAUUAUGAACUUAGGCCGGAAAUGUCAUACUUGGACGAUGGAAACCGCCUAGGGGAGUGCGACUGGUGCCACGACGACCGAGGUAUUUGCGACAGGUUCAUUGAUCUGGACGAAGAUCGGCGCUUCAGCAUUAAGCUCGAGGAGACCUUCGAUGUUCAUAUGGUACGCAACGACGACAAUAGUUUUUUUCGUAAUUAAGCACGACUUCAACUAUUUUAACGUGUAUUUUUCAUCUUUUCCAAUUCGACUAGCUUAUCCCAUGCUUUGCAAGACGCUAUGUCUUGGAGAGGAUGGGUUUUGAAGACCAUGAAAGUAUGGAAACCAAAAGAAUUAUCCUAAGUACCCAUCAUGGUGUAGAUUUUCAAGUAAAGUUGUACAAUGCUCAGAGUGUAACCCAUUUUGGUUCCAAAAACUGGGAAACAAUUUGCAAGAUGUAUGGUUUUGAUGAGGGUAUGCUUGUCACCAUGGAUCUUGGUGAUCCUACAAUCGCGCAAGAGAUACCUACGAUUUUCGUCCUUGUGGAUACACCUCCAAUUCUUCCCUCAUGUGAGCUUAACAUAGUUAUUAAGUAAUUUAUAUUGUUUAUUUCAAAAUAGUUGACAACUUAUUCUCCAUUGACAGCUUAUUUUUAUUCUUCAAAGAAUGUGCGGAAGAUGGUAGACAGAACCUACUACACCGAAGGCUCCGAACUAACUUAUCAGGAGAAAAAUCAUCUGGUCGCAUUUUGUACUGAUCUUGAGAAUUACAAUGUCUACAAUCGAACUCCUCAACAUUAUGGUCAAUACGUGCCACUAGUGCACGUGUUGAACUAUGGUAACUAUCAUGGAGAUACCCUGGUAAGAUUUUUUACUAUUACGACAUCCGUGCAUCUUUUUGCACACUUUUAAAACUAGUACAUCAUAUCAUUGCUAACUACAAAGUUAUUACUAUGUUUUUCAACAGAUAAUCCCAAAUGAUUGUGUGCCUCAUCUGAUGUAUACACACGGUAGCCUUCAUGUUUUGAACAUACAACCAGGUCUUCCUACGAAUCUGAACUAUCCAUACCGGGUUUCUAAAAGAAGUGGAGACAUGACAAUCAAAGAAUGGAGAAAAUGUAUGGACAUUCGUAAGGAGCUUCUUGGAAGCAACAUUCAGCGAAGGGCAAAAAUUAAAGACAGGAUGAUCGCCAUUCUUCAUAAUGAAGAGUCAGAGUCUAUAUUGUUUUAUGCUAUUUUACCUUAAGGGUGUUUAGGUCCUACCUGAUACUGAUGAUCAUGUGCUAAGAACAAUUAUGUAGGGUUGGGUUCGAUGACUAUGAGGAUGAUGAUCGUAUGACUUAUUAUUAAUAACGAGUAGAAGUUGUAUGAUGAUGCAUGAUUAGUAGGACGAGUACUUGUUAUUAUAUAUGCUGAUGUAUGCGAGCAUGCACGAGUUAUUAUAUCAGCGGGUAAAAUGAACAUAUAUAGCAGCAACGUUGGUAAACCAAGGACGAAGGUAUAAGAGAGGACACUUCUCUCUAUUAGCUAGCUAAUAUAACAACCUAAAAAUAACCCCCAAAACUCCUAAAGCAGCCACUUUCCAAAAAAAACAUGGACUUUUGGUCCCGAUUGGUGCCACCAACCGGGACCAAAGGCCCUUUGACUGGGCUCGGCGCACAGGGCCACGUGGAGGCACAUUGGUCCCGGUUCAUGUUUGAACCGGGACUAAUGGGUGGAGGUAUUAGUAACGACCCAUUAGUCCCGGUUCAUGAACCGGGACUAAAGGCCCUUACGAACCGGGACUAUUAGGUAUUUUUCUACUAGUGGUAGUACCGAGUUAUGGUAGGCUUGUGAUCAAGCUUGCCGGUUAUUAGAUUAGGAGAGUCCGGUUAGGACUUGAGUCACUUCCGUGUUGGGUUAGGAGUUAGGCUCAGGUCGGUUUGCUAUAUAUAUAUAUAUAUAUAUAUGUGUGUGUGUGUGUGUGUGUGUGUGUGUGUGUGUAGAAAUAAAGAGGAAAACAAAGGGCACGAUACGGGCCCUUGGCUAUCAAUUUUGUGUGCAGGUGUGUUUGUGUUAUUCUGAUGUGAUCGAUCCUGCGGGCGAAUUUCCAACAAUCUCCAAUGUCUAUUUGACGGCGCUUGUUCUUGUCGCUCUUGCAAAUCUAAUUGUUCUGCCCAUUAUGAGCAGUCGGCUGGUUUGAGGUUCUCCUUUUGGAAUAUGUCAUCUUCCUCUCCAUUUGCAUAUCGGUUGGUCAUGUCCAUCAAUAGGCGCAUGAAGGUAAUCCUAGUUAGCCCCAGCUUAAGCUGGAGGUGUUUGUACCUCACACCCCGUUGGAAGGCCAGGAUGGCUCUAUCCUCUGUGAUGCCCUCCACGGCGUUGCUUAGCUGAGGUCCACCUCUAUGUAAUCCCGAGUGGUCUCCUAACACGUCUUUAAAGGUAAUUUGUUUAUCCACUGUAUGCUUUUUGUUCAACGGAGAAUUCUUUAGUGAAAACUAUGGUCCUCGGGUCUACUUUUAUCACAAAAUAUCUUGCUGCAAUUUAUUUACUGUUAAUUUAUUUUGUGUUCUAUUUCUAUCUAUUACUAUCAGAUUUGAUCCUUGCAAACAACCGACAAGGGGAUUGCCAACCCCCUUGAUCGCAUUGGGUGCAAAUAUUUGCUGUUUUGUGCGUAGGUGCUGAUAACGAGGUUUCAUGUGGUUCUUCUACUGGAUUGAUAACCUUGGUUCUUAACUGAAGGAAAUACUUAUCUCUACUGUACUGCAAUCCUCUCCUCUUCGAGAAAAUCUCAACGCAGCUCACAAGUAGCACCUCCUUGGGCCCUCACACACAAAAAACAUUAGUUCCUAUUAACCUACGAGACGUGUGUACAUACCCUAGAAGUUCUUGAAGAAGACAUCCUCCAGCUCUUCUCAGGGGUAAAUACUAUUUUUCCGGUAGAUUGUUGAUCCUCGCUCUAGUUCAUCCCUCCAAGAAAGAGACAAGUUCGGCGUAGAUAGAUUCUCAUUACCGCCUCCGAUCUGCACGGGCAAUAGGUAAUCUGCGAGCCAAGUUUCCGACUUGGUGUUUCCAUCAUAGUAAUCUGCGAGCCAAGUUUCCGACUUGGUGUUUCCAUCAUACUUCUAAAUUCCAAAACCCAUCUAGAAUCGAUAGGGUAAAGGAACCAUACGGAUCUUCUGACUUAAGCACAAUGGGCCUAAGGAUCCUGAUCCACUCGGUCAGUCAUGCUCCUGUUCAUGCCUUGCAUCGUGUGCAUGAUCCCCUCGCUUUUGAACGAAGGUUUUGCGUGUGUCGUAGUGCUGGUCACCCCAUUGGUGUGGAGAAUUCGCCCGUAUCCUAGGUGAAUCUCUAUUAUGUCAGGGCGAGUCAUCACGCCUAUGACGUUGACCGUCUUGUCUGCGUGGCUGGUCAUCCAACUGUCAAGGUGAACAAUCCCGAUUGCGAGGCGAAAAAUCAUGAUGUUGGGGAUAAGCAUUCUGAUGGCAUGGAGAAUCAUCACAUUGAUGAGGAAGAGUCCUCUGUCUUUGUUGAGAGUAAUCGUCUUGACCACGGGGAACAUCUCUAUGCCCCCGUGGUAAGACGCCAUCAUGGUGUCAAGGAGAAUCUAGUCGGUGUCAUGGAGAAGGGUCCUCACGCCACCGAGGAGGGUCCUCCCAGCGACAUGGAAAUGGCUCAUGCACAUCCCCCCACACAGUUGUCGGCCCUGCGCCUGGCCAACUGUCAUUUGUGUGAAGAGGCUAUUGUUGGCACUCGGUUUUUGGUUCCCACAGGCACUUUGCUGCGAGAAGCCAGACAUUUUUUAAUCAUGUUGUUCUGCACGACCGUGACCUUCAAGAAAUUCGACAGCUGCCGGAUGUCGUCAGCGAUGUCUCUGUCUCCCUGUUGUUGGAUUGUGUCUGCCACUCUAGUCGAAGCCUAGACACUUUCAAUCAGGGUACGCAUGAUUCCGGAGUCACCUGGGCCUUCGGCUGCAAACUUGUUGUUGAUAUCUUGCCCUCGUCAAACUACAGACUGGGACGUCUGCUGAUGUUGCCGACUGUUGUCCGCUAGCGCUUGCUCUCCCGCGAUGAGGUUCUGGUGGCUUUUGCGCAAGGCGAGCAUGCUCGGCCAGAGUGGAAUGAUGUGACACCUCUAAGACUUUGUCAGCCGGUGAAUCCCCUAAGAUCGGGGUGUUGAGGAGCUGCUCGAUGGUUUCUUGGGUGAGAUGUUGCCUGUCACAAGAUACAACAUUGCUGGUUGUGGGAGAUGAAUCGAUCGGUGCACCCCAUCGAAGUCUAGACUAGGGGUGUGCCAGCCAUGAAAACUUCCGACAUGGGACUCUGAGUCCCGCAGCCAUCUUCCUCCUCGAAGUCGGACUCCAGCAGAUGGAUCAAUUAUUCAUUGUCCAUCAUCUCGAUGAACUGGCUUGCUGAAUGACAAAACUAUGGGUGAGGCUUGCCUGAGAGCUUUCUACAGCGUCAUGGCGCCAAACCAACCGGCUGAUGCGAACCCAUAGUUGAAGGCUCAAAAUGCUUAGGCCAUUGGUCCGAUAAUGGAUACUCAUGCUGACAUGUUGGUGCAAUUCAACGGAGCAUAAUUGAAUCGUCUACGGCGAACUCGAGGACACCAAAAUGGAUGCGGCCAAAAGGAGUUGACGAGAAACCUCAAUAGACGCUCUCCCCAAGGUGGUUGCCAACUGUCGUGGAUAUAAUCCUGACAAUAAUAAGGGGUGUGUAUGUAGAAGCAACUGUAUCUAUCAAAUAGUACAAUGGGAGUAUGGUCAAGAAAUUAUAUAGGUUCGGGCCCUCUUUGAAGAUAAUACCCUACUCUUGUGGUGCUCUUGUUGGAAAUAUGCCCUAGAGGUAAUAAUAAAUUAGUUAUUAUUAUUAUAUUUCCUUGUUCAUGAUAAUCUUUUAUUAUCCAUGCUAUAAUUGUAUUGAUAGGAAACUCAGAUACAUGUGUGGGUACAUAGACAACACCAUGUCCCUAGUAAGCAUCUAGUUGACUAGCUCGUUGAUCAACAAAUGGUUACGAUUUCCUGACCAUGGACAUUGGAUGUCGUUGAUAAUGGGAUCACAUCAUUAGGAGAAUGAUGUGAUGGACAAGACCCAAUCCUAAGCCUAGCACAAAGAUCGUAGUUCGUAUGCUAAAGCUUUUCUAAUGUCAAGUAUCAUUUCCUUAGACCAUGAGAUUGUGCAACUCCCGGAUACCGUAGGAAUGCUUUGGGUGCACCAAACGUCACAACGUAACUGGGUGGCUAUAAAGGUGCACUACAGGUAUCUCCGAAAGUAUCUGUUGGGCCCACUCGUCAUAAUGUGCACAAUGUGACCAAGGGGUUGAUCACGGAAUUAUGUGUUACGGAACGAGUAAAGAGACUUGCCGGUAACGAGAUUGAACAAGGUAUCGGCAUACCGACGAUCGAAUCUCGGGCAAGUACAAUACCGCUAGACAAAGGGAACUGAAUACGGGAUUGAUUGAAUCCUUGACAUCGUGGUUCAUCCGAUGAGAUCAUCGUGGAACAUGUGGGAGCCAACAUGGGUAUCCAGAUCCCGCUGUUGGUUAUUGACCAGAGAAUGUCUCGGUCAUGUCUGCAUGGUUCCCGAACCCGUAGAGUCUACACACUUAAGGUUCGAUGACGCUAGGGUUAUAAAGGAAGUUUGUAUGUGGUUACCGAAUAUUGUUUCGGAGUCCCGGAUGAGAUCCCGAACGUCAGGAGGAGUUCCGGAAUGGUCCGGAGGUAAAGAUUUAUAUAUGGGAAGUCCUGUUUUGGUCACCAGAAAAGUUUCGGGUUUUAUCGGUAACGUACCGGGACCAGCGGGAGGGUCCCGGGGGUCCACCAAGUGGGGCCACCAUCCCCGGAGGGCUGCAUGGGCCAAGUGUGGGAGGGGACCAGCCCCAGGUGGGCUGGUGCGCCCCCCCACAAGGGCCCAAGGCGCCUAGUGUUUGGGAAGGGGGGCGCACCCACCUAACUUGGGGGGCAAGUUUCCCCUCUCCCCCCCUUGGCCGCCCCCCAAAUGGGAUCUUGGGCUGGCCGCCGCCCCUAGGGUGGAACCCUAGGUGGGGGCGCAGCCCCCCCUCUCCCCCUAUAUAUAGUGGAGGCAAAGGGGCAGCCCAACACACGAAGUUUCUUCUCCUGUUGGCGCAGCCCUACCUCUCUUUCUC